RNAcentral lists this long non-coding RNA (50647 nucleotides) under Triticum aestivum (bread wheat). RNAcentral describes it as "long non-coding RNA (TAES_LNC026874)". The stretch from base 5338 to 5472 matches the Rfam family "MIR1120/MIR1122 microRNA precursor family". The record is from RNAcentral. Lineage: Eukaryota; Viridiplantae; Streptophyta; Magnoliopsida; Poales; Poaceae.
CCUGGAUUUGGCCUUGGUGUUGUGAUUUCUGGAGCAAUCCGCGUGCAUGAGGACAUGCUUCUUGCUGCCUGUAAGUGCCUCUGACGAACAUGUUAUCCAUGAUUGCCUGCCAGUAUGCCAAGCAUUUCCUCAAAAAUAUUAACCAUAUUAUGGGAAGCUUAUCAAUGUUUCAUGUGUUCAAACAGCGGAAACACUAGCUGCACAGGCCACAAAGGAGAAUUUCGACAAGGGAUCCAUCUUUCCACCCUUCACCAACAUCAGAAAGAUAUCUGCCCUCAUCGCUGCUAGCGUGGCUGCAAAAGCCUACGAACUCGGUAUGUUCUCCGACACCCUUGCCCCCCUUCAGGCCUCAUGGAAUACCUGUGCUUGACAUUGCUCAAACUUUUUUCUGCAGGCUUGGCGACUCGCCUGCCGCGGCCGAGAGAUCUGGAGAAAUAUGCGGAGAGCUGCAUGUACACCCCUGUCUACCGCAGCUAUCGUUAAUGCAGUGGAGAUCAAUUUUGCAGUAAUAAAACGCAAGGUCGCAGGAUGCUGCGACGCUGUUGUUGUCUGUCGCUGUUCUUGCUGCUGCUGGAACUCGUAUCUGUCUAUACAUAUAUGCCGUGUCUGUUGUAACGCUGUGGAAGAAGUUAAGCAAACUGUCUUGUGUACCAACGUUUGUUAUUCGUGUAGGUUGAGUGUAACGAGUGUAAUAAGCACACAGAGUUCUAGUUCUCAAGGUAAUAUGGCUAGUGCUCCUCGCCUUUUAUCUCAACUGGGAUCCUUGACCAUAUAUGAAAAUAAAUGCAAAUUAGCUAAUGGAGGGUGCAAAAGUUUCAAUCGAAUGGGGAAACAUUUAUAAUAUACUCCCUCCGUUCCUAAAUAUGUCUAUUAGAGAUUCCAAUAUGAACUAAAUAUAGCACCUUUUAGAGAUUUCAAUAUGAACUACAUACAGAGUAAAAUGAGUAAAUCUACAUUCUAAAAUAUGUGUACAUGUGUUCGUAUGUAGUUUGUAUUAAAAUCUCAAAGGAUUUAUAUUUAAAAAAUAUACCUGUGUCUGUAUUGUGUUAAAAGAAAAUGUCUAUAUACAUUAGUAUGUAGUUUGUAUCUAUAUUUAGAAAUGGAGAAAUUCAUAUGUAGUCUGUAUCGUAAUCUCUAAAAAUACUUAUAUAUAAAAAUGAAGGGAGUAGAUUAUGUCAAAAGAAAGACUACCAUUUGGUUUUGCAUCAAAAGCAUUUUAUCGCCGUCUAAUUUCAGAGACACAUACAUGUUUUAUUGUUUAAAUUGAUGGUCAAGUUUAAACCUUAAAAUAUAUUUGUGCCUAGAGACCUAGGGAGCUUUUUGCCAAACCCUUCACGACAUCUGUGACUGUGUGGGUCGCUAGGGCUCCUUGCCUUUCUGGCUUAGGGCAUUUUCAACAGUAGCCCUAUAUUGGACACACAAAAGUAGUUCCUCCGUUCGAAAUUACUUGUCUCGGAAAUGAAUGUAUCUAAAACUAAAAUACGUCUAGAUACAUCCAUUUCUGCGACAAGUAAUUCCAAACGAAGGGAGUAGUUAUAGGGCACCAAAAAAUUGGUUUGGCAUCAUUCGGAAUUAUUUUCUUCACCAGUUGCCCUAUAAUAGGUACCAUUUUGCUCCAACGGCUGCCUAAUAUAGGACACCAACCACGUCAUUUGCGAUUGCAUACAUAUUGAAACAGAAACAUGAACUUGCAUAUAAAUUCAAGCUUUGCAAUACACAAAUGCAAAACAUGAAAUGCACAUAGCAAAUUUAACUUCAAAUCCACAUAUCAAAUUCAAAUGCAAACCAUCCAUCAUAGUGCAUCACCAACACAACUAAAAGUGCAUACAACGUAGAAGUGCAUAGAACAUAAAUCUCUGAACUUCCAUUACCUUCAUUGUUAUUUGUGUUUGCAUUGUCUUCACGGUUUGCAUUGACCUCAUUAUCAGCAUCAUUGUCUUUGUUGCCAUCACCAUCCAUAGCACCACCUCCUCCUCUGUCACCACCCAUAGCACCACCUACACCUGUGAAACCACCUCCUUCCAUGCCACCACCCGUGAAACCACCUCCUCCCACGGCUCCUCUCAACUUUCAUAGCAUGAAACCACCCAUGCCACCACCAAUGAAACCACCCAUGUAAGGAUGAAACUGGAUUAGAUAAUUUCCAUUCAAUCUAGUUUCGAAUCCGGAAAAAUGGAAGAGAAGUGUAUAUCCGACCGGAUAGAAAAAUAGACUUCGGAUAAUUAAAACGAAUUUGGAUUAGACGCCUCCUCCACGACCGCUGCGCAUACAGACGCUUCCUCCUCCCCUGACUACGACACCACCUCCACCGCCCGCAUCUACAUCUCAUCCUCCUCCGACGAAGAGGAGGCGGUUUAGGGUUAGGGUCUAGUAUAGGUUUAAAUUUCAUUCGAAAUCUUAUAAAAUAUCAACAAAUUUGGAUGAAAAAAAUAAACCUGAAAUCUAAACUUGAACAAUAUUCAGUCUACCUUAAGUACACGGACUUUGUGUCUUUGUCCUAAAACACCUUUUUUUCAUUAAAAGAAGAAACAUUUUUCAUUGUCGAUAUUCAAAGGUUCAUAUAGCUGCAAAACAUGAAUUAUCGAAUGUCAAAAAAAUUCUUACAAAAUAUUCAUGUCUGAGAUUUUUGUGCCCUGGUAAAAUUUGCGAAGGAAAAAAAAGUUUCUUCUACGUGGAAAAACAAAUGCAGUACUNNNNNNNNNNNNNNNNNNNNNNNNNNNNNNNNNNNNNNNNNNNNNNNNNNNNNNNNNNNNNNNNNNNNNNNNNNNNNNNNNNNNNNNNNNNNNNNNNNNNNNNNNNNNNNNNNNNNNNNNNNNNNNNNNNNNNNNNNNNNNNNNNNNNNNNNNNNNNNNNNNNNNNNNNNNNNNNNNNNNNNNNNNNNNNNNNNNNNNNNNNNNNNNNNNNNNNNNNNNNNNNNNNNNNNNNNNNNNNNNNNNNNNNNNNNNNNNNNNNNNNNNNNNNNNACUCCUUUUCAACAAACCGGAUGAAAUUUAUGCAAACUCUGCCGGAUUUUAUAUAAACAUGAUGGAUUUCGUACAAACCGGAGAAAAACGGUUACAUUUUGGACAUAUUUUCAACUAAAAACAAAACCAGACUACUCUACGGCCGGCGCCAGCGGAUAUGCAUUCUGACGACAUGAUACCCUCGACUAGUCUACUGCCGGCCGUGGCGGGUCUCCGACUCGUCCCCAUGACCGGCAGCAGUGAGCCCGAAGGUAUAUGCUUCAGUACAAAGGACGGCUUGCUUCCUCAUCGCUCAUCGGAGUGGAACCGCCGCCUGAUGCUUCAGCCGGAUGGGAAGGGUCCCUACACUACACGGACCAAAGUUGGUUCUUGGGUAAGGGGACCACGGUGGCUGGCGAGAGGGCAAGCCACUGGUUGUGUAAGGCAACGGUGCCUUGGCGAUGGCCUUCAUGGGACCCAAGCGGCGGCGGCCUCCCAUGUUCUACUUCUCCUCGAUAAUGGUGACGGGCGCGUACGUGUUGGCCGCCUCCUCAUCGACAUCCGCGCAACCGACUUAUUUCUCUUCUUGCAUGGUGCAACUACGCACGCGUUGACGACGCAUGCGUUCGCACGCACUAGAGGCGCGGUACGACGCGUCGUCGUCAAUGACAUCGACGAUGCCCAUGCCGCCAUGCUCCCCGAUGUGCCGGCCUGGAGCAACUCGCCACUCCUCCGUGAAUUGGCUUGGAGCGGUGAGUUGCUAAACCACGCGUCGGCUUGGGGCGACAACUUGCUCCGUCGGGCUAGGCAAGGACCUCGCUCGUAUGAGCCAGGCUCGGCGGGCCACCCAGUCGGUGUUUAUGCCGGAGAACUGCUCUUCCUGCUUGGUCGGAUGCCAUCGAAAGAGUGGAGAAAAUUGUGGAAGGAGAAGAUGGGGAGCGGCGGAGUGGUGCGAUUCUUGCCUGGCGUUUGACCUCGUUUAAAUAGAGGACGGAUGGGAGGAGCUUGCCCGACGUUGCGUUUAAUGCUGGCCCGCUCGUAAACGGACGUGUGGCUAGAGUAGAUUUCUCAGCUUCCACGCGGAUUUAAUGGAGCUGUUUGAAUGCGGCGAUGAGGCUUGUUCAGCCGAGCGUGCAGCGGGCGGCGCCAUCGACCGGCGCGCCACUUCAAUGGCGGAGGCAGUGAGAAGUCGCGUCCGCCCUGAGCUGCCUUCGAUGUGGAGCGGCACGCUAUAGAGCAGCAUAAAUGCGGGCAGAUGACGACGGGAGGGGGAAGGUUUUUUGAUGGGUCAAGGUGGUCAGAAGCAGGCGUGACAUCAGUCCGGACUCCCGCAAACCUCCCCCACGUUUGUCUCUGGUUUGCAGGAGAAAACGCGUCCUGACCGCGGUACGGACCAUGCCGCAGACCGGACCGAUGCAGAAGGUUUACGGGUCCACGUUGAAGACGCCUUAAUAUGUUAUAAAUUAUGAGGGUAUAAAAUACAUGAACAUUCCGGAGGCGUUUCCAAAUGUCUUGUUCUUUUCAUCCUGGAGGGCAUGCAUUUGGAUUUUCUUACAUCGUCAGGCGUUUCUAAAUGUCUCUUCUUUUCAUCCCGGAGGGAUGUGUACCUGGAGCCAUUUCACCUAUUAUAUAUCACACCUACACAAAAACCUACGUAUUUCACAAUGACUGACAAACUUUUCCAAAGACAAAAUACUGCAGUCUACGCAACACAAGGAGUGGGUGAAAUAUUCACAGCUUUGCACCCCUCUAGAUAUGCUUGGUAUCGUGGGAAAUAUGUAACCAGCAAAAUGAACCCAUAUUCCCAAUGUGGCCAUAUCCUUGAAUCAUCGUGGCAGAUAUACAGGAGGCCUCGCAGGGUUUGGGCGCCAGAAUCUACGAUGCCCACAGACAAAUUUUCUUUUGUAGCAACCUUAUGGUCCUUCUCACUGAGCUGGAUGAUAUUGUUCUUCAGAUGGCGAUUCUGUUUGAAGCAAAACUGAGCAAGGUCAGGAUGGUAAACAAAAUUAAGUAUCAGAACAUCAAAUGGAGACCAAAACAAGUGGCUAGUACACCGAUGGAUAGUCAACUAUUAUGUGCGCUCGAAAGUUGAAGUGAUGCAUUUGUUCCAGCAACAUGUUUUUUUUUUCUCCGGAAAAGCUCCAGGGAUCAAGGUUAACUUAAAUGCCUUCAUGCCAGAUGGGUAUAUUAAUUUACAUUAUACAGUUCAGAGUCCAAUAAAAACAAGCCUUCGAAUUAGUCACUUCUGUCAUAUAAGAGUAAAAUUCGUUGUGAGAUAUCGGAAUCAGAACUCAUGCAUAGGUUCAACCAUACGGAUGUAACAUAUUGUAUCUUCUAUAUAUCUGAUCAACCAAUCGCAUGCUUCAACAUAGUAAAAUCAGAACUUAGAUAAACCCAAGUACUCCCUCCGUCCGAAAAUACUUGUCAUCAAAAUGGACAAAAAGAGAUGUAUCUAGAACUAAAAUACAUCUAGAUACAGCCCCUUUUAUUCAUUUUGAUGACAAGUAUUUUCGGACGGAGGGAGUACUAACAAUCUCAUACAUAACAGAUUUAAGGGUAAGCUUCAGAUGUACUGUAAGAAGCUAAGCCACGACCACAGCAGAUUAUUACACAUUGAUUAAUUUUGAGAAAAUGGGAAGCUCAAUUGCACGCAUAAAGGGUUGUGAUAAUAGUUCAGCACUAGAAAAUACAAUGGUCAACAUGAUGAGUUGAUGACGAGGCUAGGAAGCUACCAGACCUUAUAUAUGACUUUCCUGUACUUCCACACAUGUCCAAUGUGUAGCUCAGAAAACAGUGAUACAACAAAAUGAAAGGUCCAUGCCAAUACACAGAUAAGUUGUUCUCAUCACCACAAAAAAUUGCUGCUCUCUAGCUAAUCUGGAGAUGGUAUAAAAACUGCUAGCUUCACUAAACGUAAAAUAAAUGGAGAGAUAGUAUUAAGGAUGGCUAUAUAUAGGGAAACGCAAAGUUAAAGGGCAAUUGGCACAACAUGCAGCCAUGCAGGACAUUGCUUUUCAGAUUGUGGGGCAAGUAAGAGCACUUAGAGCAACAGAAUGUGAAAUGAUGCUGAACUAGUAUCCGUAGAAUGGCCUAACGAAUCAAUCACACACCUAACACCACUCCACAGUUAUAGCAAACAGUGUGAUGGUUGAUGAACUAUUAAUAAGAGUACGAAGCAUCACAAAUGCAGCAAAGCCUAGCAAAAUUUACUCGAUUAUGAUGGUGUAUUAGCAAUGCUACAAAUUUGGACUUUAAAACACAUGGCAAAAAACCUAGCAAAAUAGAGGAGAAAUUUACACACACAAUGCACAUUGUAAAUCAUUGUAACCUCAACAGAAGCAAAAGGAAUACCUUGAAGGUUCAGCUUCAGUGCAGGAAAUAUAGGAGGCCAAACCAUCUUGAAGGGAAAAAUAUAAUAAGCCGAAUACGAAUCCUUAUCUUUCAUCUCAUACACUUUACGCAAUGUCUUGCCCUUGAUAUCUAGAUACAGUAUGCAUCGACCCAUCUGGAAGAACACAAACUCAGCGUUGUCCCCGACCUGCAGUAUCCGAAGAACAUCAAUAUGCUCAUCCUCAACAGUGUAAUCUUGCAUCCUCAAAUCAGCAACCAUCUCACUCAUAAAGAUGGUGUCCACCAGCAGCCAGUUGUUCCCCUUGUGGAGCCAGAUAUGAAGCUGAAGCUCCUUCACUUGAAUAAGAUAUACACUAGAUGCAUCAUCUGCCCGUGACAACAUGGCGUCUCUAUCUCCAUACUCCACCCCCUGUGGGAGACAAAUUGUAGAGCAACUUGAGACCGACAAAUCCAAGACCAUAAUAUUUCUCGGGGCAACUGUGAUAUAAAUUUUACUGUCGACCAUCACAAGUUUUGGGUCCCAUAGCGGAAGAGAUGGCUGGUCAGUGGCCAAGGUAUGAUGUGUGCGCCAGACACCCUGUUGCAACAUAUAUACUCGCACCGUAACCUUAGUGGUCUCCUCUGAAGACUCGAUCAGAACAUAAAAGUAGGACAAGUCGUCGCCUUGUUCUUUGGAGAGGAGACACGGCCAGAUGCAGAACCUGCCCUCCGGCCGGUUAUACCUUGGAAAUGGUAGGACGGUCAUCAUGUCUCUCUCAGGCACAAAGCGGUAUGCACUCCAAGUUUGAAUCUAGGGCCGUCUAGGAGCAUAGUUAAGACGCAGCCAUUCCGGCAGUCGAGGACGUGAGCCCGUAUGCACUGCCAGGUGUCCGGGCAGAAGCAUGCACGGUCGAUGACGGCGGCGAGCUCUGGUGGCAGAGGCAGCAACGGCGUGAAACGGGGCCCCGUCCCGGUGUCGAUGUAGAAGCCAAGCAGGCGAGGGGGGUGCAGCUUACGGAACCGGACAAGGAAGGCCUUGUCGGAGACGUGGCAUAGCCAGCGUCUGCAGACCAGGGCGGCACGAACGAGGGUGUUGGGGAAGCUGACACGGAGAAGGAUCUCAACGAGGAGGUUGUCAUCGUCGAGCACCUUCGAUACCGUGGCGGAGGAGUCUGCCACCGCCGGUUGCGGCUGCUUCUUACCUUCCAUGGCGACCUAAACAAUAAUGUAAAAAAAAUGGGUUAUACUGUGGGCUGGGUUUUGGCAGUACAGUAUAUUAAUCAACAAGUUACAUUAAAUAAUUGGUGGCUAGUGGUCUGGCUUGAGUCUAAAAUACUAAUACUCCCUUCAUUCCCUUAUACCAGGCCACUUCGUUUUUCAUGUCAAACUAUGACUUAUAACAUUUGUCAACAAAAUAUAGAUUAUAUGUCAUCGGAAAUAUAUCAUCGGAAAGUUCUUUGAAAUGUUACAUUCAAUGAAAUACUUUUUGUGGCAUAUAAGUCACUUUUUGUUGUUAAAAUUACUGGUUAAAUUUAAGAAAUAAAAAUAUGAAGUGGCCUUGUAUAAGGGAAUGGAGGGAGUACAUGGCUAGUGAAUCUGAUUUGGGACUAAAAGUCUAAAAUACUCCAUGGCUAGUGGAUCCGGUCUGUGACAAAGAUACUCAUUUGCUAGUGAAUGUGCAGUGGGGGCUAAGGCAAAUACUGAAUCCAAGACAUGAUCGGCAUCGAUCUCAUCUAUAAAAGAUCCAUGGUAAAAUACUCACUCCAUGGCUAUUGAAUCUGGUUUGAGUCUAAAAUACUCCAUGGCUUGUGAAUCUGAGAUGGUACCAAAAUAUUUCUUGGCUAUUGAAUAGUAAAAUACUUGAGUCUAAAAUACUCCAUGGCUUGUGAAUCUGAGAUGGCACCAGAAUAGUUUUUGGCUAUUGAAUAGUAAAAUACUCCAUGGCUUGUGAAUCUGAGAUGGCACCAAAAUAUUUCUUGGCUAUUGAAUAGUAAAAUACUCCAUGGCUAUUGAACCGUAUACUCGGCGGCUAGUAAAUCUGAAGCCAUCGACCAAAUGAGCACCAGUCGGGAGGCCUAGCUGGGAUGGGAAGGAUAAUUACCUCGGUCAAAAUCGACCCGUCGGGAGGCCCUAGCAUUACUGCGCCUCUUGCGACGGCCGGCGAGAGGUGACGCAGUCCGGCAGGAUGGGGCGGCGGCGAAGCGAUGGUGCCGGUGGAGAGUAGAGCCGGCCGAGCGGGAUGGGGGAAACCACUGGGUUGACCGUGUAGUACUUCACUAGCAGGUGCAGGUUCGCGGGGAGGAGAAAACCAGUUGUACGAGUACUUCACUAGCAGAUUUUUUUUUAAGAAAUUGUAGCCGAACUGGCUCCUACAAAACAACUGGGUUGACCGUGUCCACGUGCAAAACGUCAGCGCGUGCGUGGGGGUAGAUAUCCUCUCCUCUUCUUGUUCCUCUCUACGCGUCUCUCUUUUCUCUUUCUUGCGGUGAUUUUUUCUGCGGUCCGCCUCCGUGGCAAAGGAAAGCGAUUUUUUUAAGAAAGCCAUCAUGACUAGCUUUAUUAAAAUUAAACAAAGUUUACAUUAUCUACGAGCUUACUGACAACCCAGUCAGGAGGCUCGUCCAACCAACUGAAAGAAGAUUUAUUACAGAAACAAAAAUUAGCUAGCGCAUGAGCUGCUUGAUUACAAGAACGAUAAUAAUGCUUAAAAAUGACCUUCCCCAUCAAGGAACUAGUAUCCACACAUUCCGCGAAGAUUGCCGCCGCUGAGUCCCACCAUCUAGUUUGACCAUUACAGAAGUUAAUAACCUGUAGGGAGUCUGAUUCCGCUUCCAACCGAUUGAAUCCAAGAGAAUUAGCAAAAACUAGACCGUCUCUCAUUGCCAAAGCUUCUGUAGUGAUCACAUCUGUAUCGAAAGGGAUAAAUUUGCAUUGUGCCGCCACAAAGUUUCCUCUAACAUCCCGUAGUAUGGCCGCUGUAGCCCCCGCACCUUCAUCUGGAUAAAAAGCUGCAUCAACAUUCAAUUUAAUAAAUUGAGGGUUUGGCUUACUCCAUUUUGCUUCAGGGAAGCUAGGGGUGAGCGAUGACGCCAUCUGAUGAUUGCUCGCAAUGGAUAGCACUGACAACGCCCAUCUCCACUGUGGUGGAACUGAUUCAUUAUGCGUUAUUUGUCUUCGGAUCCACCAUAGGUACCAACCUCCCACGGCUAUAACCUGUUUGAAGUUCAAAGAUGGAUGGCAAAGGAAAGCGAUUAGCAGAAGCAUCUCCCAGCGAACCAACAUGUGAUUGAAUACUUAGGAGGAUAAGGGCAUCCCAAUUCACCAGGGUUCAAAUCCUGGUGCUCGAAUCUCAAGAUGGCAUGCCGACUCAGCCUCUCGGAGGUGCCAUAAGGGUCGGGUGUGCCUAUAUGCGUUCAUAUGGGUGAGUGUAUACGCUUGUAUAUGAACGUUUGCAUAUGUACCGUGUUAAAAAAGAUAAGCAUUUAGCAGAUUUCUUAUCCAUGGAGCGUGCAGAUAAAAUACUAAUAGAUUGGAAGGUUCGAAAGCUAGCGCACGCAUUUCGAUCUGGUUCACAAUGUGAUACGGGGUACAUGCAUGUGUGCAUGGUACUGCUAGCUGCAUGUUACGUCACCACCUACUCAGUUGUGUAGCUAGGUUUUUCCGAUGCCCCGAGCCAACUGCAGAGGAACAAUGUUAAACAGUAAUGAACAGUGAUAAAAUAUGAACAAUCAAUAAGGGAAUAUGUUGCCACGGCCCAGGCCAUGGCCAGGGUAGCCUGGGGUUUGGCUACGCGCUUGCACCUACUAAUCCUUCCAUUGAAUCUAGCUACUACCUCCCUUUUCUUUUCUUUUCUUUUCUUUUCUUUUUCACGACAACUAAUUACGGAUCCAUCAACUUGGGACUCGCUCGUGGAUGUGGAUGCAGAGAAUGUCGUGUCCUUGCCUUGGGGUAAACCCUAGGAUUAGGGACUGGGAGUAGGUAGCGGCGUGGGAAAGAAGAAGACUAGAGAGAAGGAAAAACAGAACACAGAAAGCUGAAGGCGAACUAUUCCAUUUCAGAUAGUUCUCAAUGAUGCCAUACAGCUAUAUGGGUUGAUCUUACAUCAGGCGCUCGACACUCACACGAUACCACUACACUUACACGGCCCACAACCCGCUAACUCGACUCAACCCUAUUACUUGAAUUCAAAUCAUUCACCGUUACUUGCCUCCUCCUUUGGUGGUUCAUUGCCUGGCUCUGCAUCGCCUGAUAGAGUAGGGGCGAUGACAAUGCCCUCUCCUUGAGGAGCUAUUUGUCCCCAAGUUGCUGCCUGCGGAAACCUCUUCUGGAGCGCGGUGUAAUCUUCACACAUGGCAAACUCAACUGGCAGAGUCUCCCAACGCACAAGCACUUGUAACAAGGCAACAUUGCCUUUCCUGACCAAACGCCAAUCCAGAAUUUCAGUAGGAGAAAGAUCUUCAGUAUCCAGUUGCGGCAGUUUUGGAAGGGAUUGAAACACUGGAGUGUGAUCGGGCACGUGUUGCUUACUUGCUUCAACUGAGAGAUAUGAGACACAUUAUGGAUUUGAGCAUCUGUGGGCAGGUCUAGUUUAUAUGUUGCUGGUCCAAUCUUCUACAUGAUCUUGAAAGGUCCAAAAUAUUUGAAAGCAAGCUUGGGGCGUGGUCUAUUGAUCAAAGGCAGUUGACCAUAGGGUUGCAGUUUCAGAAACACGUCUCCCCCACUACAAAUUCUCUAGGGGAGCGGUGUUUGUCAUCAUCUGCUUUACACUUCUCCAGAUCUCUUUGGAGAUGUUGUUUCAGAUGUUCAACAUAAGCUUGUCUUUCCUGAAGCCACUGUUCCAUAUUAGGAGAUGCAUCUUCAGGAGGUUUAUGGAAUUUUCCCAUGUGAGGAUCUUGUCCAUACAAAGCCUUGAAAGGUGAGCAGCCCAGAGAGGAGUGAUAAGUAGUGUUGUACCAUAAUUCUGCCAGAGCUAGCCGAUUAUGCCACUUGGUGGGAGAGUCAUGUACAACACAUUUUAGGUACAUUUCCAAGCAUUGGUUCACUCUUUCCAUUUGCCCAUCGGUUUGGGGAUGUCGAGCAGUUGACAUUUGCAAUUUGUGACCCAGAUUGCCCACGGUUCCUUCUAGAAAUGGCUAGUGAAGAUGGUAUCUCUGUUAGAAGUGAUUAUCAAAGGAAUGUUGUGGGGCUUGACAACAUUUUGCAUGAACAUUUGAGCAACUAUUGCAGCAGAAUAUGGAUGCUUGAGGGGAAUAAAGUGACUGUACUUAGAAUAUCUGUCUACCACUACAUAAUGACACUGUGUCCAUUUGAUUUAGGCAGUCCUUCCACAAAGUCCAUGGUCACAUAUUCCCAAGAUCGGGCUGGAAUAGGUAAAGGAUUAAGCAAACCUGGAUAUUUGCAAUGUUCAUGCUUGGCUGACAUGUUUGACAUUGUUAUACAAAAUUUUGCACCUCUUGUUUAAUACCAUUCUAGUGAAAUAACUUCUUUACUCUCUGAUAAGUAGCUUGAAUUCCACUGUGUCCCCCAAUAGGAGAUGCAUGAAAGGCCUCAAUUAACUUGGUGUGUAGUCCAGCAUUAGCUCCAUUCCAAAGUAUGCCUUUAAAUCUUAUUAGACCUUGUGACAGAGCAAAUCCAGGUUCAGCCAUAUGUGUUAUAGCUAAUCUUGUCAGUAAUUCCUGUCCUCUAGUAUCCAUUGCAUAAGAGUUCACCACUUCUUGUACCCAGACUGGCUGGGCAGUGGACACUGUUUGCAUAACAAAAACAUGUCCAAUUCUGGAUAAAGCAUCAGUUACCUUGUUCUUUAUGGCCUUUUUGUACUAAAAUUUAAAUUGGAGACCAACUAGUUUUGCCAUUGCUUUUUUCUACAAAUCAGUGUGAAGUACUUGGUCUUCCAAGUUGCAUAAACUCUUGUGAUCUAUUUUAAUUACAAAUGGUUCUCUGCUAAGAUAAGACCUCCACUUAUCCACUUCCAUCAUUACUGCCAUGAAUUUUUUCUCAUAAGUAGGCAACUUUUGAUUAUUGAUCCCUAGAGCUUUGUUGUAGUAGGCCACAAGGUGGCCCUCUUGAGUGAGGACAUCACCAAUACCAGUAUCACAGGCAUCUAUCUCUAAUGCAAAUGAUUUGGAGAAAUCAGGCAGGCCAACAUAGGUGUGGAAGACAUAGUUGUUUUAAGCUUCUCAAAGGCCACCUGGGCUGUAGGUGUCCAUUGGAAGUUAUUUAACUGCAACAGAGGUGUCAGUGGUCUUGCCAAAAUGCCAUACCAUGGAACAAACUUCCUAUAGUACCCAGUUAAGCCAAGAAAUCCACUCAACUCAGUGAAAGAGGUGGGUUGGGGCCGCUGUUGCAUAUCUCUUAUUUUCUCAUGAUCUGUGGCCACACUUUGUCAGAAAUCACAUGUCCCAAGUAGCUGAUUUGCUGGGUUGCAAAACAACAUUUGCUCAUUGAGGGAGUCCUGGAUAAGGGGGUAUCCGGACAGCCGGACUAUACACUUUGGCUGGACAGUUGGACUAUGAAGAUACAAGAUUGAAGACUUCGCCCCGUGUCCGGAUGGGACUCCCCUUAGCGUGGAAGGCAAGCUUGGCGGUUCGGAUAUGUAGAUCUCCUUCUUUGUAACCGACUCUGUGUAACCCUAGCCCCCUCCGGUGUCUAUAUAAACCGGAGGGUUUGGUCUGUAGGACAACAACAAUCAUAAUCAUAGGCUAGCUUCUAGGGUUUAGCCUCUACGAUCUCGUGGUAGAUCAACUCUUGUAAUACUCAUAUCAUCAAGAUCAAUCAAGCAGGAAGUAGGGUAUUACCUCCAUCGAGAGGGCCCGAAUCUGGGUAAACAUCGUGUCCCCAGUCUCCUGUUACCAUUAGCCUUAGACGCAUAGUUUGGGACCCCCUACCCGAGAUCCGCCGGUUUUGACACCGACAUUGGUGCUUUCAUUGAGAGUUCCACUGUGUCGUCGCAAUAAGGCUUGAUGGCUCCUUCAAUCAUCUUCAAUGACGCAGUCCAGGGGGAGGUUUUCCCUCCCGGACAGAUCUUUGUAUUUGGUGGCUUCACACUGCGGGCCAAUUCGCUUGGCCAUCUGGAGCAGAUCGAUAACUACACCCCUGGCCACCAGGUCAGGUUUGGAAACCUAAACUACACUGUCGACAUCUGCGGAGACUUGAUCUUCAGCGGAUUCAAGCCCACGUCAAGUGCGCCGGACAGUCUCGACGAGCAUGACCUAGAUCUGCCAUCGGACAGUACUCGGCUUAUCGCACGUGUGGCUGCUCCGGGAAACAAUCCGGAGCAGACUGUGCCAUCCGAGGACGGGUGGAUGGACCCCGCCACGGAGGUAGCACACUCAUCGGCCUUGGAUCCGAACACUCCUCCCACCUCCUAUGAGGUCGGUACCUUCGGACCCUCGGACUCGUUUCCGGCUACAGGAUCCGAACCGCGUACGCCAUGCCUAUCGAAUCCUAUUGGGCACCAGUCAUGGAGUUCACCUCCGCGGAUAUCUUUCAGCACUCGCCCCUGGGCGACGUGCUAAACUCAUUAAGGUCUCUCUCUUUGUCAGAAGACUCUUGGCUGAACUAUGUCCGGCUCGAGUGGGAAGCGGACGACGAAGAAAUUCGGCACCCACCCACCACCCACUUAAUAGCCACUGUCGAUGACCUAACCGACGUGCUCGACUUUGACUCCGAAGACAUCGACGGUAUGGACGACGAUGCAGGAGACGAACAGGAACCACUGCCUAUCGAGCGCUGGACAGCGACCUCAUCAUAUGACAUAUAUAUGGUGGACACCCCCAAAGCAAGCAAUGGAGAUGAGGCGACGGAGGAUAAACCCCCGGAGAAGCAAUCUAGGCACCGGCGCCAUAGACGCCGCUCCAAGCCCUGCCAUGGCAAAAAUAACGAUACUGGCACAAUAGAUGACAAUAGUCCUGAUGGUGCUGAAGACGAAAACAAUCCUGCCGAGCCAGGCUUCGAGCAGGCCGAGCAAGAAGAUGGGCAAACUAGCCCUAAGGAACAGAUAACAGAUGGAGAAUCAGAGGAUGAUAAUUACAUGCCUCUCUCCGAAGACGAGGUAAGCCUUGGCGACGACGAAUUCAUCGUGCCUGAGGAUCCCGUCGAGCAGGAGCGCUUCAAGCGCCGGCUUAUGGCCACUGCAAAAAGCCUGAACAAAAAGCAGCGAUAGCUUCAAGCUGAUAAAGAUCUGCUAACUGAUAGAUGGACCGAGGUCCUGGCUGCCGAGGAAUAUGGACUCGAGCGCCCUACAAAAAGUUACCCUAAGCGUAGGUUGCUACCUCACAGGGCCGGCUUUGGACCAGUGCGAGAGGUGCGACGGCCCGGGGCCCAGACUAAAAGGGGGCCCAUAGUAUAUACGCAGUAUAUAUAUAUUACGGAGUAGUGAAAAAAAUGACUAACGUCCAGCCCUGGUAGCUCUGAGCCCACCCAGCAAGCAGCACGCAACCAUCACUAGGGCCUGCCCAACCAAACCCAGGCAACACACGUUGCCUUGUCGUUCUCCUAUCCAGGGAGACGCACCGACACAGGAGCACGGAGACGCAUCGACACAGCAGCACGCCGCCUAACACCGACACCAGCGCACCGCACCGAACCUAGAGCUGAGUUUGGGGAUCAAAUCAGCAAGAAUUCGGGGAAGAGAUCAACUGAUCAAGAUCAUCAUUCAGAAGGUAAUAAUUCUCAGAUCAAUCUAUUCAUAAAUCAUAAUCUAUAGGCGAAUAUUUUCCGGUGGUCUCAAUUCUGAAACUUCUCAUCUAAAAACAUAACAUCUUCAAUCUCUGAUACUGUAUUCGUGUUUCUCACUUGCAGUAUAAUCAUGUUACCUAAAAAACAUCUAUCUGGCUGUGAGAAAAGAAACAACAAGAAAAGAGUAGACAAGUUGAUUAAAUCUCAGGAAGGCGCUAUGGAUAUGUUUGUCGUGAGGACGGGUGCUGCUACAAAUUCAGAGCAAUUAUAUAUCACAAAUGGUGAAGAAAAACCUGAUGAUACUAAGAAUGCCGUUGAGGAAAAUCAUGUCGAGGAAAAUCAUGUUGAGGAAAAUAAUGUUGCGGAAAAUGAUGCCGAUCAGCACACGAUAAAUAAUGCUACGGAAAAUAAUGCUGCGGAAAGUGACCAUGAGAAUCUUGGAAAUGCAGAUGAGCAGGGUUCUUCUUUUGAUAUAUAUGAUCCUAGAACUUGGAAUAUUCUUGACAAUAAAUCAAGAGAUAUUCUCAUUGAAAAAGGACCUAUAAGGGAAUACAAUCUUGAGUUUCCCGAAGAUGAAAUUAGUGGCAGGCAUUUUUCAUAUGAUUACUACACAAGAAAGUUAAGGAAUGGCGAGUUCAGUGAUCGGAGGUGGUUAGUGUACUCUAAACACAUGAAUAAAGUCUACUGCUUUUGUUGCAAAUUGUUUAAAUCUAGAAAAAGCAAAAGUCUGCUAGCAUCCGAGGGAUUGAAGGAUUGGAGACAUCUUAGUGAGAAGCUCAAAUUGCAUGAGAAUAGUGUUGAGCAUAUCACUAACAUGAAUACUUGGAAUGAGGUAAGGCUGAGGCUAAGUAAGAAGGAAACAAUAGAUAAAGACAUGCAACAAGAGAUUGCAAGGGAGAAGGAGCGAUGGAGACUUGUUUUAAUUAGAAUUGUUGCUGCUGUGAAAUUUCUUGCUAAACAUAGUCUGGCUUUUCGAGGAUCGAAUGAGAAAUUAUAUCAAGAUAACAACGGAAUUUUUUUGGGAGUAAUUGAAAUGAUGGCAGAAUUUGAUCCUGUAAUGCAAGAGCAUCUUCGGCGCAUUCAGAAUAGUGAAAUCCAUCAUCAUUAUAUUGGCCAUAAUAUUCAGAAUGAGUUAAUUUCCCUUCUUGGUCGCACUGUUAAAUAUUCUCUGUUGAGGAUAAUUAAGGAUGCAAGGUAUUUCUCUGUCAUCUUGGACUGUACACCUGACGUGAGCCAUCAAGAACAAAUGACUCUAAUUGUGAGGUGUGUAAACAUGUCAAGUACUACUACAAAAAUAGAGGAGUUUUUUCUGGAGUUCUUGAAGGUGGAUGAUACAUCCGGGCUUGGACUUUAUAAUGUGUUAAUAGAUUCACUUAAAUCUGUUGGUUUGGAUGUUAAAGAUGUUUGUGGACAAGGGUAUGACAAUGGUUCGAACAUGAAGGGAAAACACCAAGGGGUACAGAGCAGACUACUUGAAACUAAUCCAAGAGCAUUAUUCAUGCCAUGCGCUUGUCAUAGCCUGAACCUUACUCUUAGUGAUAUGGCAAAAUCUUGCGAUAAAGCUAUUACCUUCUUUGGUGUUGUGCAAAGAAUUUAUAUAUUGUUUUCAAGGUCUACUAAAAGAUGGCAGCUAUUGCUUGAUCAUGUUCCAAAAAUGACAGUUAAUUCUUUGUGUAACACUCGAUGGGAGAGUCGAAUAAAGAAUGUUCAGGCUAUCAGAUAUCAAGCGCCCGAGUUAAGAAAAGCAUUACUGGAAUUGAAGAGAACUUUUACCGAUGACGCCAAGACUAAGAGCGAUGCAAAAUCUUUGGCGAGCGCACUUGAGAAAUUUGAAUUUACUUGGCAUGGUCAUUUGGCAUGACAUUUUGUUCACUAUAAACAUGGUGAGUAAGAAGUUGCAGUCUAAGUUUGUGUGCAUUGAUGUUACUCUUAAACAGAUUGAAGGUGCCAUCUCAUAUUUUAAGAAGUACAGAAAUGACGGCUUUGCAACUAGUCUGGAUAUUGUGAGAUCUAUUGCAAUUGACAUGGGUGUACAACCUUUGUUUCCUGUCCAGAGACGUAUUACUAGAAAAAGACAGUUUGAUGAAAUUAGUGGCAAUGACGAAAAUAACCAGAAUGAACAAACGCAAGCAAGUGAGGUGGAAUCAUUUAGAGUUAAAUACUUUUUGGUGAUGAUUGAUGUUGCAAUUGCUCCCCUAACUACUAGAUUUGAGGAAUUGAAGAAAUUUGGGAGCAUAUUUGGUUUCUUGUUCAACUCGAAAGAGUUGAAGUCCUUGGGUGAUAAUGAUCUAAGAAGAUGUUGCACUAAUUUUGUCUACAAAUUCACUCAUGGUAAGUCAGCAGGUGUCGAUCUAGAUGAUUUCGUUUCUGAACUAAAAGUACUGCAGAUGACAUUGCCAAACACAUUCAUGUCAGCAGAUCAGAUAUUUGAGUUUGUUAGAGAUGCGGAUUGUUAUCUAAAUGUCUCAAUUGCUUAUCGUAUCCUUUUGACCGUACCUGUGACUGUUGCAUCAGCUGAAAGGAGUUUCUCAAAAUUGAAACUAUUGAAAAAUUAUUUGAGGUCAACGAUGUCUCAAGAAAGAUUGAAUGGAUUGGCCAUGUGCUGCAUUGAGAAGAAUAUGCUGGAUAGUAUUGAUCUUGACACUCUCAUUGAUGAUUUUGCGUCAAAAAAUGCACGAAAGUCUCGUUUCACAUGAUCACUAGAGGUUAGCAUGCUAUUUCUAUAUGUUUUUUCUGCGUUGUAACUUCCAUGAUACUUGGUUUGGAACAAAGACAUGGAAAAUAACAUAUGCUUGAUUCUACUAAAGAAAUAUUAGUUUUAUAAUUUUAUAGCAAUUUUAUAUUUUCAUGUAUCAAAUUGGAUUUUUCUCUCUAUUGGGCCCACUGGUCGGGUUCGCACCGGGGCCUUCAAAAUCAUAGAGCCGACCCUGCUACCUCAACUCGAGGAGGAGGCGUUAAAGCCCACACUACCAGCGCAUGAUGCGGCUGACCUGCCACCCCGUGGCCGCGACAAAGCGGUGUUCAAGCCCGAAGUCCAGACCGCACCCCGUCGCCAAACAAGCAAAAACGCGCAGGCCGGGGGCCACACGAAGGACCUGCGAGAUGUAUUGGAAAACAAAGCAGGACAGUCAAGAUCGAUCUACGGAUUGCGGGGGCGCGCCACAAUGCGCGAUGAUGACCGACGCGCCAGAUACACUAAACAAAAGUCCGGCCGGGCCAAAUACAACAAAGCAGAAUCAUUUGAACUGCGUCGUGAUGUAGCCCGACAUAGAGGCACCGCACACCCCCUAUGCUUCACUAACGAAGUAAUGGAUCAUGAAUUCCCAGAAGGGUUCAAACCCGUAAACAUUGAAUCAUAUGAUGGCACCACAGACCUCGCGGUAUGGAUUGAAGAUUUUCUCCUACACAUUCACAUGGCCCGCGGAGAUGAUCUACAUGCCAUCAAGUAUCUCCCACUAAAACUCAAGGGACCAGCUCGGCAUUGGCUGAAUAGCUUGCCGACAAUCUCCAUCGGGAGUUGGAAGAACCUAGCAGACGCAUUCCUUGACAACUUUCAGGGCACUUAUGUGCGACCACUGGAUGCUGAUGACCUAAGUCACAUAACACAACAGCCCGGAGAGUCAGCCAGGAAAUUUUGGACACGGUUCCUGACUAAAAAGAACCAAAUUGUCGACUGUCCGGAUGCCGAAGCCCUAGCGGCCUUUAAGCAUAACAUCCGCGACGAGUGGCUUGCCCGACAUCUAGGCCAGGAAAGGCCAAAGUCCAUGGCAGCCCUCACAACACUCAUGACCCACUUCUAUGCGGGCAAGGAUAGCUGGUUGGCUCAUAGCAACAACACAACAAGCAACCCUGGCACAUCAAAAGCCAGGGAUAGCAACGAUAAAACACGACGCAACAAAUAUAAGCGUCGCAAAAACGGCGAUAACGCCGAAGACACGACAGUCAAUGCCGGAUUCAGAGGCUCAAAGUCCGGUCAGCAGAAAAAGCCAUUCAACAAAAACAAUUCAGGUCCGUCCAGUUUGGAUCGCAUACUCGACCAUCCAUGCCAAAUCCACGGCACCCCAGUAACACCAGCCAAUCAUACCAACCGAGAAUGCUGGGUCUUCAGACAAGCCGGCAGGUCAAGUGCCGAAAACAAGGGGAAGGGGUCUCAAAGCAACGACAAUGACGAGGAGCCCCGAUCACCAAAAACGGGAGGACAGAAGAAAUUCCCUCCCCAUGUGAAAAUGGUGAAUAUGAUACACGCAACCUAUAUCCCCAAGCAGAAGCGUGAACCAAGGGACACCCAUGCAAUAAAGCCAGUCGCCCCAAAACUCAACCUAUGGUCCUCUUGUCCGAUCACCUUCGAUCGAAGGGACCAUCCUACCAGUAUCCGUCAUGGCGAUUCAACCGCAUUGGUCCUCGACCCCGUCAUCAAUGGAUCCCACCCCACACAAGUCCUCAUGGACGGUGGCAGCAGCCUGAACCCGCUCUAUUAGGAUACACUGCACAAAAUGGGCAUCAAUCCCUCGAGGAUCAAACCCACAAAAACCACCUUUAAAGGUGUCAUACCAGGUGUAGAGGCCUGCUGUAUGGGCUAUAUCACACUGGAAGUGAUCUUCGGACCUCCGGACAAUCACCGUACCGAAGAGUUACUCUUCGACAUCGUCCCCUUUCACAGUGACUAUUAGGCCUUGCUCGGACGAACCGUGUUCACUCGGUUCAACGCGGUGCCACAUUAUUCCUACCAUAUACUCAAGAUGCCUGGUCCACGCGGCAUCAUUACGGUAAAGGGCAGGGCCAAACUCCUCACUGCCGAAGAAUCCACUACCGCUUUCACAGCAAGAGCAACAAACAACACCUCCCAAUCGAACCUUAAGUCGACGACCAAGCUCACGGACCCUGUAGAAGGAGUCUGAACUACUGUGCGACAGGAUAGACCGGCCCGUCCGGAGCUUAAUUAGAAACACUCAGGCAAAACUUAAAAGACAAGCCACAUACUGCGGCUCAACCGCUUGGUGGCGAAAGACCAUUUCUUGCAUUUUUAUCGCAGGUUCACCUUUAUGUAGGCCAGGACGGAUGACGUGGAAGCAGCGCGGUCAUGUAAGGGAAUCGACAGAUACUCCCCUCUCUUAUAGUACGAAUGCACUCCGGAUCCGCAUACAACCUCCUCCCGCCUGGUCUUAGCAGGUUCUACAGUCAUAUUUCUUUUUUCCACAUUACUUGUACUCAUACGCUUAUACGUAUUACUCAAAUACAACAUGUGAGUUUUUAUGAUGUUAGUCUGUUGUUAUUUCUUAUUAAAACCCUUUUGUUGGAAGGCAGCUGCUUAUCGCGAGAUGCCUUAGUAUGCCAGGGGCUUCAUCAUACCCAUAUUACGGCAAAAAAGUUCGAACACCAUCACGACAGUUCGGCACCCCGAACUUAUAGCAUUAUAUGCAUCAGCUCCGAAUCAUGUGUUGGGUCAAUAGUUGGGUUUGCCCGGCUCCUAUGUUUUGGCACCUUACGCUCCGCUAUAUCGGCUAAGGUAGCGCUAGGAGAACUACUGCGAUUGUGUCCCGGUUCUUCCGGACAAGCACCUCAGUAGAGAAAGCCGAAAACUGACUAUCAUGAUGUGGCGAGAGCUGGUCAUCUGUUCGAGAGGUUGUCAAAUCUUUAAGGAUUUCUUCUGCAUAAUGCUAUAACCAAUGCAGAGUGCGAAGGAUCGGUUUUCUUCCGAUCAGGCGCUUAUAGAGCCCCUCGUGCGGUCUUCCGAACACCAGGGGCUGCGCCUACCAUACUUUUAAAUUCCUAUGGCUAAGUGAGAGUGAUAAAGCCCUAUAGUAUGAUUGCCUGGUUCGCUGUGCUGAACACCUCCUUCAAGGACCCAAAACUGGGAAAAGAGUGCUCAGGUUUAUCCCGAACACCCCCGUACUCACUGCAUGGGGGCGGAAGCCGACGACUGGCCAACUCUCAGGAUUAAUAUAUAAAAUGGCCACACAAGAGGAAAAACUUUCAAAUGACAGGCAAUAAAUAAUAGAAAUGACCUUGUUCAAACAUUACAACGGACAAACAUGACCGUAUUCAUGGAAAUAUAAUGUCCUUGGUGCAUUGCUCCGCUGCAAGGCGGGCUCCUUUCAAGACACCUUCAUAAUACAUUUCGGGCAUUGCGGUGCUCCUUACCCUCCGGCGGUCCCUUGGUCAUCAGCUUUUCCGCAUGCAUCUUCCCCCAAUGCACUUUUGCACGGGCGAAGGCCAUACGCGCACCCUCUAUACAGACCGACUGCUUGAUGACUUCGAGUCGAGGGCAGGCACUCACAAGCCGCUUCACAAGCCAGAAAUAACUGCUUGGAAUAGGCUCGGCGGGCCAUAACGGGAUAAAUAUGUCCUUCAUGGCUAGUUCGGCCGCCUUAUGCAGUUCGGUCAGCUGCUUCAGCUGAUCGGAGAAAGGCACUGGAUAAUUCGGCGCCAGAUACUGCAUCCAGAAGAGCUUAUCCGUAGUAUUUCUUCCUUCGGCUCGGUAGAAUUGGGCGGCAUCAGAUAUGCUGCCCGGCAGCUCCACAAACACCCCUGGAGAAAUCAAGAAUUAAAACUAUCAAACUUGAUCUCCUCCUUUAAAAAUACUCGCUUUAUAUAUAUAAAGCCUUACUAGCCGCAAUCUUCCUCGCUUCCUGGAUUUCCUUCAGGGCAUCCUGGGCUUCCCCCCGGGAAUCACUUGUGUCUUGGCGAGCCUGGGAGAGUUCGGAUUCUUUCCCUGAUAAACUCUGCUCCAAGGUCUCGCAUUUCAUCACGGCUUCUUAAAGCUUUCGCUCGGCCUCAAUAACUCUAGCUUUGUGCUUCUUACGGAGAGCUUGCUCUGUGGCUGCCCUCUUCUCGGCUUCGACCACAACCCUUUUAAGAGCCUCAAUUUCAUAUGUUGCCCCUAGAGCACAUCAUAAAAAUAAUUUUAUCAUGCAUAGCUCAACCAUUUGUGCCAAAUAAACAAGGUUUCCGCAUACCUUGGUUGUCCUCCAACUAUUUCUUCACUUGGCCAAGUUCUCCUUCGGCCAUCUCCAGACUAUGCUUUAGUCUGGAUACUUCUGCAGCAUGAGAGGUGGCAUCUACUACAGACGCCUGCUUAUUAAAACAAGUUAGAUGUCAUCACGUGAGUCUCCUGCGAACAUAACAUUGAUGCUCCGUCUGGUUCUUCCUUUUCACCGAACAGUGUAUCAGGGGCUACUAUCUAUACUAUGGCACUCUUCCAUACCUCGAAGCCUCUUAUAAGGCUGACGCGGGAUUCAUUCAGUCCGCUCUCAGCAGACUGAAUCUUCUCAAUCACCGCACCCAUAAGGGCACGGUGUUCAUCAAUGAUGGAGGCGCCCUUCAGCACCGCCAAUAAAGCAUCCAACACCUCUGGUUGGACAGAAGUCGCCGGUGUAAUGGGCACGCCCCCUCCAGCCAACGAAGGCCGCUUGCCCGAUUCCGGAGACUUAUUGACCUCCGGGAUAAUGUCCGGCUGGGGGCUGGAAUUAAGAUGACCCCCACCAUCGACAUCCAUGGGAGUCUUCUCUCCCGUAUGUCCGGACCCCGAAGUUUGGCCUUUUGGCGACACCUUUGCGAUCUUCCCCCCUCUUCCGUGGUUUAGGUCCUUCUGGGACGAAACCUCGGUGUCAUCUUCAUGACUGGGGGAGGGGGCCUUCGGGGGUGUCCCACUCUCCAUAGCAUCCGUACCCAUCGAAUCCUCCGAUGAGGAUUGUUCGGCACGGGACCUCACAGGACUGUAAAAAGUAUGGCUCAGGUUAAAAUAUUAUGCCACGACGAAUCUGGAUGCAUAAGCAUGUUCAGAUUUUAUACUCACGAGUUCACCAGGGGCUGGGCCCUGGGAUCCCACUCCGGACUGCUAUCGACGGCGAUAGUGGACUCCUCUAGAAGGGGAGUUUCCCCCCUCUUGGGCGACUCAGCCUCCAAGGAUGUGGAGGCCGUCCUUUUCUUUCUUUCCCCCGCGAGGGAUUCACCUUCCUCCUCCUCCUCCUCGUCUUCUUCGGAGGAAGGAUGGGCGUUGGAGUCUUCGGAUUUUGUAUCCGAGGCCCCACGGCGACGGAGGCCGCCCCUGGUCUUCUUGCCCUCUUCUUCAGUCUUCUUCUUCGGCGCCUUGUAAGGCGCUGGGACCAGCAUCUUCGUCAGAAGUGGGUCGACCGGUUCUUUUGGCAGCAGGGCUGGACAGUAGAUCCACCCCGCCUUCCUCGUCCAGCCCUAGGAGUAUCAUGAAGAAAAACAUUAGGCAUUCUGUUAAGGAUAUGCCAAUAUAACAUAUGAAUUGUCAACAUACGGUUACUUACCGAACUUGCAGGGCGGGACAGUUGGUACCCGUGGUCCUCGGUGGAGUCCGGCCAUGAUCCGCCGGACUUGAAAAGCACCUUCUAGAUGCCCUUGUGCGAGGAGCCGAAGAGCUAUAGCAGGGUCUGGUGCUUGGCUGGGUCGAACUCGCAUAGAUUGAAGCCCUGUGUUGACAAGGUAGAAUCCGGCGAAUCAACAUCACCUAGACUACAUUUACGAGCUUGAUGCUCUUAUCUUCCAUAUCUUGAACACACGUCUGGAGCGUUGAUAGUUCGUCAGACGAAGCCCAGUCCAGGCCCUUCUUGGGCCAGGACGUGAGGCGUAGAGGGGCUCUGGAUCUGAAUUCUAGAGCAGUGGCCCAAUCCUUGCCACGUGGCUCAGUGAUGUAAAACCACUGCUGCUGCCACUCCUUGACGAAAUCAUUGAAAGUACCUGUUGGCCAUGUAACAUUGGGAAUCCUGCUCACCAUGGCUCCUUGUCGGUGUCAAAACCGGCGGAUCUCGGGUAGGGGGUCCCGAACUGUGCGUCUAAGGCUAAUGGUAACAUGAGGCUGGGGACACGAUGUUUACCCAGGUUCGGGCCCUCUCGAUGGAGGUAAUACCCUACUUCCUGCUUGAUUGAUCUUUAUGAUAUGAGUAUUACAAGAGUUGAUCUACCACGAGAUCGUAGAGGCUAAACCCUAGAAGCUAGCCUAUGAUUAUGAUUGUUGUUGCCCUACGGACUAAACCCUCCGGUUUAUAUAGACACCGGAGGGGGCUAGGGUUACACAGAGUUGGUUACAGAGAAGGAGAUCUACAUAUCCGAAUCGCCAAGCUUGCCUUCCACGCAAAGGAGAGUCCCAUCCAGACACGGGACAACGUCUUCAAUCUUGUAUCUUCAUAGUCCAACAGUCCGGCCAAAGUAUAUAGUCCGGCUGUACGAAUACCCCCUUAUCUAGGACUCCCUUAGUAGCCCCUGAACCAGGCUUCAAUGACGAUGAGUCCGACGCGCAGAUUGUCUUCGGCAUUGCAAGACGGGUUCUUCUCCAAAUUCUCCAGAGUACCUGUUGUAACAAGCAGUGUCCGGCUUCCCAUCAAUAGUACACUCCUCGGCUUCUGUGCUGGAAUAAUGGCCAUCUCCACGUGUCGAGCGAAUGCGAGAAGUCGUGGCGUUUUUACAUUUGCCACCCUGACCAUGUAAGUAAAUCAUCUUAUUUAAAGAGACAAGGAUCCUCAGAUCCAAAUCACACCAUCCUUCCCCCCCACGAGCAUCCAUCAGAGCGCGCCCGGAAGAAUCCAUUCCAUCAUGGCCGGUCAUUGCGCCUCCUACUCUCGCUCCCGUAGCACUAAGCCAGGUGACUGGGAGAAGUGUUCUGUUCCCAAUAGCCGAUUGGUAGAGUUGCAGACCCAGGGGUUUCUCCCGCCCGCAUACAUGGUCCCCGUCCGAGCCGGACUUGCCACCUAUAAUGGCAGGGAGCAAGCAGAGAGUUUUCCCAAUCCCUCAAAGGGGAAGCAGGUAUGUCUUGUCCUGUUUCUGCUGAGGGGACUCGGAUUUCCAAUUCAUCCGUUCCUCCGCGGGCUCCUGGAGUUCUAUGGCCUCCAGCUGCAUCACUUCACCCCUGCCUCGAUCUUGCACAUCGCCAGCUACGUCACCUUCUGCGAGCUGUUUAUGGGAUGUGAAGCUCAUUUCGAGCUAUGGAAGAGGCUAUUUUGCCUCAUAGCCCGUACUCAGGAGGGGUCAAUAUAUCAAGUGGGCAAAGCCGAAAUAUGGCGCAUUGCCGGGACCGGAUACUUGUCUGGUACCCCGAAGAAGACAUCCGAAGACUGGCCUUCGGAGUGGUUUUAUAUGGAGGACAUCCCCCUUCCGGACCCUAUUCGGAUGGGCCUUCCUGAGUUUACCAAUGCCCCAUUGAAGAAACACCUCAGCUGGCGCCCACGGAGCCCCGAGGAGGAAGAUAACAGAGAGGUCCUUUUUCUGAUGGACAUGAUAAAGACCCUGGCCAGAUCAGGACUGACAAUUAUUGAAGUUAUGUCAAUAUGCAUAAUGCGGGGGGUACAACCACUUCAGUAUCGGGGGGAACCCAUGUGGCACUUCAAUGGAGAAGACGACGCCACCCACUGGGGCCGUAAAGGUCCGGACUCCGCCGCCGCUCUGGCAAAAAUAUUAUCUGACCUGUUCAAAGGAGAAGAAGAGGAGUUCAUCCGGAUCAAACCAAGGGAUGGAUUCUCCAUGUACAACCCCCCAAGCUGGGUGAGCUACCGUCUUUUACUCCAGCCCUUUACCACAUUCCUUAUCACAAAUAUUUACUUAGCUAAUUCAUAGCAGGAACUGCGAAGAGCUAUGAGGGAGGUUCACAGCCCGUCUCCACAGCCAGAGGAUCCCGACAGGGCCCUCGACCCCGGACUCAAAGAAGAUCCGGACACAUUUGUGGAGCUAAUCGAUAGGAACUUUUAUCAAUUAAGUUGUGAUGGUGCCUGGGUGGCCAUCAUAGCUGAUUAUCCUGGCCUACUCCUUGCAUCGCAUGUAAGUAAAACCAGAGUCCCAAUUCACAAUAAAGAUACCUUUCUUGCACCUUACCCACCGUAUUUGAACCAUGUUGUACAGGGAAGGUCAUCGAAACGCCGCGCCGAACCCGCGGCGACUCGUCAACAAGGAGUCCUGAAGCCAGGUCGGCUUAAAAGGAAGGCGGUCAGGAUUGAGACGCCGUCGCAGAGGUAUGAUUAAAAAACCUGCUACGUAGUUUAUUGUCCUUUGAAACAUAAUAAUGUCAAUGGCUCCCCAGCAGAAAGAGUACUCGUCGGACUACAUCCGGAGAGGCUGUGGGUCACGCCUCCACCAGCCGGGUUCCAAGGCCGGACACUAGGGCGGAGGUUAUCGCGCUGGCAAAGCUGGACAGUCCUCCUAUAGAGGACGCGGAUAGAUUAUCCGUCACAAACUCCGAAGUGGGGAGUGUCGGUGUCAAAACCGGCGGAUCUCGGGUAGGGGGUCCCGAUCUGUGUGUCUUAGGAUGAUGGUAACAGGAAGCAAGGGACACAAUGUUUACCCAGGUUCGGGCCCUCUCGAUGGAGGUAAAACCCUACUUCCUGCUUGAUUAAUAUUGAAGAUAUGAGUAGUACAAGAGUAGAUCUACCACGAGAUCGUAGAGGCUAAACCCUAAGAGCUAGCCUAUGAUGGUAUGAUUGUAAUUGCAAUCGGCGUUCUAAGGACCAACCUCUCCGGUUUAUAUAGACACUGGAGAGGGCUAGGGUUUACAUGGAGUCGAUUACAAGGAAGGAAAUACAAUAUCCGGAUCACCAAGCUUGUCUUCCACGCAAAGGAGAGUCCCAUCCAGACACGGGCCGGAGUCUUGAGUCUUGUAUCUCCAUGCUUCAAUAGUCCGGACGAUGUAUAUAGUCCGGCUCUCCGGAUACCCCCUAAUCCAGGACUCCCUCAGUAGCCCUUGAACCAGGCUUCAAUGACGAUGAGUCUGGCGUGCAGUCUUGUCUUCGGCAUUGCAAGGCGGGUUCCAUCUCCUAAUACUCCAAUGUACCUAUUACGACGAACAGUAUCCGGCUUCUCGUCAAUGUUGUACUCCUCGGCUUCAGUGCCUUAAUAAUGACCGUUUCCACGUGUCGAGCGAAUGUGAGGAGGCAAGGUAUUUUUGCAUUUGCCACCCCGAUCCUUCGGGCUAGCCGUCUAUUUGAAGAGAUGGGGAUUCCCAGAUCCGAACCUCACCCUUCCCCCCUGAGCAAGCAUCCAACAGAGCACCCCGGAAAAACCAUUCCAACAUGGCCAGUCGUCGCAGCUCUUUUGCUCGCUCCCCUUGCCCCAAGCCAGGGGACUAUGGAGAGUGUUCAGUUCCUCAUAGCCGUUUGAUAGAGCUACAAACCCAAGGGUUUCUCCCACCGGCGUUCAUGGUCCCCGUCCGAGCCGGAAUAGCCACCUAUAAUGGCGGGGAACAAGCAGAGAGAUCCCCUAAUCCGUCUCCAGAGGAGCGAAUAUGCCUCAUUCCGCAUCUGUUAAGGGGCGUCGAGUUUCCUAUUCAUCCGUUCCUUCGCGGGCUCCUGGAGUUCUACGGCCUCCAGUUGCACUACUUUACCCCAGAUUCGGUGCUACGUAUAGCAGGGUAUGUCGCCCUUUGUGAGUUAUUUCUAGGUUGUGAGGCUCAUUUCGGUUUAUGGAAGAAGCUGUUCUGCCUUGUCCCCCGCAACCAGGGAGAGUCCCUAUGUAAAGUGGGCAGGGCCGAAGUAUGGCGCAUCGCUGAGACCGGAUACCUAUCCGGCACUCCCAAAAAGGCACCAGAGAACUGGCCUUCAGAGUGGUUUUACAUUGAUGACGUCCCCCUUCCGGAUCCACUACAGACAGGUCUCCCCAAGUUCAGUAAUGCCCCACCGAGGGCACGUCUAAGCUAGCGCCCCCGAGGCCCCCAAGAAGAGGAUACUAGGGAAAUACAUUUCUUGAUGAGCAGGAUAAAGUUACUAGCCAGAUCCGGACUAACGAUAGUCGAGGUCAUGGAAAUAUGCAUAAUGCGGGGAGUGAAACCGCUCCAACAUCGGGGCAAUCCCAUGUGGCAUUUCAACAGGGAAGACAAUGCCACCCGUUGUGGCCGUAAGGGUCCGGACUCCGCCACUGUUUUGGCAAGGAUACUGUCCGAUUUAUAUAAAGGAGAAGAGGAAGACUUCCUUCACAUCAAACCACGGGAUGGAUUCUCCAUGUACAUCCCCCAAACUGGGUAAGUCGUUGUUCAUUUUCCCGCUUCACUUAUUAUGGCGUUUUUCGCUAAGAUUACCUGCCUCGAUAUUUCUGAGCAGGAACUGAGGAAGGCCGUAGAAGGAAUCUCCAGCCCUUCCCCGCAGCCAGAGGACCUCGAAAGGGCCCUGGAUCCAGGACUCGAAGAAGAUCCAAAUACGACUGUGGAGUUUGUCAACGGGAUAUUUUAUCGGGGGAGCCGUGACGGCGCCUCAGUGGAUAUUACUGCCGAUUAUCCCGGACUGUUACCUACGUCGCGUGUAAGCCAUACAGAAGACUCGAUCCUCCAAAGAGGACUCUUUCCUGAUGUCAUGCCUUAUAUCUGAAGCGUCGUGUUUUGGCAGAGACGACGGUCGGAGCGCAGGGCCGAGCCCCUAGGGACCCGUCGGCCAUAGGCGUUCGAAUUGGGUAGGCUCAAGAGGAAGGCGGUUAGGGCCGACACACCUCUACAGAGGUAAGGAAACAACCUGUCAUGUAAUUAUUGUCAUUUGAAGUAUAACAACGCCCUUUACAUCCUGGCAGGAACAGGAGUAUCCGGACUAUAUCCGGGGAUCCUGCCAACCACGCCUCCACCAGUCGGGCUCCAGAACCGACUUAGAGAGAGGAGGCGGACAUAGGGCCGAUGCCGUAUAGUCCUCUGACAGAGGACGCAGAUAUGCUCUCUGCCACAAAUUCCGAAGUAGAGAGCACCAUGAAUCACUGGCGUCGACGGGCCGUGCUUCGCAACAACAUCUUUUCCAAAGAGGCAUUUAAUGCUUUCAAUUCGGGAGACGCAUAAAUCCAGGCUACUCAAGGCGGGCUUGCCCGGGCGACGGACCAGUAUACCAAAGAUAUACGGGUAAGAAAGUUUGAUAAGCAUGUAUAGCAGUAGCCCCUGAGACUUGAAACGGUUGGAACAACAGUUUUAAGGAUCAAUUUAUGUGCAGGUUCUUGUAGAUAAGAAUGAGCAAUUGUCUUGGGAGCUAGAGGAGUGCAAGACCCAACUGAGGGCCACGGUUGCCAAGCUAGAGGAAUCCAGAAGGCCUCAUCUGGUAACAUUUAUCUCGAUUGUACGAAAAUGUACCAGUUAGCAACUAGCUGGUAUGACGAGUUUAAUAGAAAAUUCUGCAGAUAACCCCGGAGUAAAUCCGGAGGGUGGGAGAGAUGACGAGUCGCAUCUCCAGAGGCAACUAAAGGCUGGCGAGCGCAUUCUUACGCAAGUUAGACAGGAGAAGAAUACUCUCCAAGAUUGAAAGUGCGUUAUGUCGACUAGAGGGGGGUGAAUAGGCGAUUUUUAUGAAUUCUUCACUGAGGAAUUUGCCGGUGAGGAAAUUCCUUAGCGAAGAACUAUUAGCAACGGAAUAAGUACUCAGAAGUAAGCAUAACAGAAUACAAGCAUGGUCAUCAUGAUGAAAUGAAGACUAGCAAAGAGUACAGAAAGCGUAAUCACAGGAUAACACAAGAUGAAGACAAACAGACUGAAGAAAUUGAACUGAGGAAAUUGAGAAAGUCUUCAGUCAAAGUCUUCAAACACAGAUAUGAACAAACACUCAACACAGUAAUGAGGAAAUGAAAGGGUUGAGGAAAUAGAACCAGUUAGGUUGGUGAAGACAAUGAUUUGGUAGACCAGUUCGAACUGUUGUCUCAGUUGUACGUCUGGUUGGAGCGGCUGAGUAUUUAAACUCGAGGACACACAGUCCCGGACACCCAGUCGCUGAGCACACAGCUCAGGACACCCAGUCCUCACCGUAUUCUCCUUGAACUAAGGUCACGCAGACCUCGUCCAAUCACUCGUGGUAAGUCUUCAGGCGACUUCCAAACCUUCACAGACUUGGUCACUCGGCGAUCCACAAUUCCUCUUGGAUGCUCUAGACCUUGACGCCUAACCGUCUGGAAGAAGCAUAGUCUUCAAAGGUAACAAGCGUCGGAUCCACGCAGGAUCAAUUUCUUCAGUGAUGCUCAAUCACUUUGGGUUUGUAGGGGUUUGGUUUUGGGUUUUCCUUACUUGAUGAUUUUCGCUCAAAGUCCUCGGAGGAUGGGUUGCUCUCAAAUGACAAGUGUCAAGUUCUCUCGGAGCAGCCAACCAGCUAGUGGUUGUAGGGGGCGACUAUUUAUAGCCUAGGGAGCAGCCCGACAUGAUAAGACAUAAAUGCCCCUCAAUGAUAUGACCGUUAGGUGGAUAAGAUAUUUUGGGACACCUGGCGCGCAGCACAGCAACGGUCGGAAAUUUGACUCUCAAAUUCUUCAGGGCUAUCAUGUUCCUCACUGUGUAGGUAAUUCGCAUUGGCGAAUUCCUAACUCCUCAGUCAGAACAAAUUCAUCAGCAACCAGAAGAACUUCGUAUCUGUCACUGAAGAAAGUGACUGAACUGUAUGAGAUUUCCAAAGGCUUCACUCGAAGGGAUUGGUAGGUGUAGGAUUUGAGUUGAGCAUCACAUGGAAAUUUUUCCUUAGUAUUUCCUCGACCCCCUUUAAUAGUACGGUGUUUCCUAUGACUCAAGAAGGAGAAAAUGAAACUACGAAAACAAAAGUCUUCACGCUUCAUGUUCCACAAAUGAAUACCAAGUCUUCAAGGUCACACCAAUUUCUUCACUUUCAAAGUCUUCAGAAAGUCUUCAAAAUAUCAAAGUCUUCAGUUGAAGAACUUCAUUUUUAGGGGUCGAUUUCUCUGUAAAUAUCAAACUCCUCAUAGACUUAUAGACCUGUGUACACUCACAAACGCAUUAGUCCCUUAACCUAUAAGUCUUCAAUACACUAAAAUCACUAAGGGGCACUAGAUGCACUUACAAUCUCCCCGUUUUUGGUGAUUGAUGACAACAUAGGUUAAGUUUUCAACGGGGAUAAACAUAUGAAGUGUAUACACUGAUAUUGAGGAAUUUGAUUACAAGAUAUAGUAGAACUCCCCCUGAAGAUGUGCAUAGUGAGGAAUUUGCUUUUGAGGCAAUGCACAUUUGAAGAGUUGAAUCAUGGAGAUCUCCCCCUAUAUCUUGUAAUUCAUACACGCAUUUGAUAUAUAAUAUGAAGAAUUUGAAAUGCAUGAUGAAAUAUGGUGCCUGAUGUGAUUCAGCAUGCGUGCAAUGUCAUUAACGAGGAAUAAGCAUGCAAAGCAUAAUGCAACAAAAGUAUCAGCGCACCAUCGGGUUUAAGAUUACAACUCGAUCCAAAUAAAAGUUUCAGAAGAACGAGAGUUGUAACUUAAAAAACGCCCUUAAUAUAGACCCGCUUGAAGACUAACUCAGAUUUCUCCCCCUUUGUCAUCAAAUGACCAAAAGGAUUGAAACUGAGGACUAACGCCCCUGAAGAAUUUCAAGUCGAUGGAGGAGCGCCAGCGUUGUCGGGGUUGUUUGUUGGAGCAGGGCCUGCCGCAGUGUCGUCCAAAUCUUCAUACUCAUCAGUGUCACGCGAUGAAGAAUAAGAGCUGGCCACCAAGGAAGGAACUUUGACCUUCUUGAAUUUCUUAGGUGGAGGGGCAGACCAGUCAAAUUCUUCCUUGAGACCCAUAUUCUUCAGAUCUGCAGCGCUGUAGACAUGAGAGAGAACAGCCCAGGUACGGUUGAAGGUUUCAUGGAGGUAGUAUUGGUUUUUCUUCACUGCAUUGUGUGUUGAGGUCAUGUUGUGAAGAAUUGAACCAAACUAACGCUUGACCCAUUUGUGAUUGCGAUCAACCUUCUGAUGAAGACUGAGGAGUAACUCACGGUCAGUCAUCACCCUGGGUGCUGUGGCUUGAGGAUUUUGCUUGGCUGAGGUAUUAGCGGCAGAGUCAUGUGUGGCAGAAUCGUCAUUGGUAGAGUAAGAGGCAGCCUUGCGAAAUUGACCAUCCAAUGGACGAAUGCCUUCAUCGAUUAAAGCAGCGGCCUUGCCUUUAUCAUCAGGAGAUGAAACUGUCCGUUUGAGGACUUCAAUGGGAGGCAAGUAGCUACCGUGGUUCAGAGUGUCAGCUUUGUAAUUCAGUGAAGAUCUUGCCCUGAUGAAUCCCAUAAUCCAAGGAGCAUAGGGCUUCAGCUCAAAUGGUGACAUAGCAAUAUUGGCCAGAGUCCUCAUGAAGAAAUCAUGGAAGUUGACGGGAACGCCAUGAAUGAUGUUGAAAAGCAUAUUCUUCAUGAUGCCAAUGACUUCUUCAUCAUUUGAGUCAUCGCCUUUGAUAGGACUCAUUGUCUUCGUCAUAAUUCGAUAGAUAGUCCGAGGCACAUACAAUAAUUCCUUGACGAGGAAUUUGGUUCGUGGGGCCUGCCUUGGCUUCAAAGGCUUCAUCAGCACUUGCAUAUAGUGAUUUGAAAGUUCUGGUUCGUUGUAGAUACAACGAGCACCAUCAAGUGGAGGACUGAGUGGUAGAGCACGAAGCAAUUCAGUUGCUGGUGCCUUGUAGUGAGUAUUUUCAGACAUCCAGUCUAAUACCCAUGAGUUCAUGUCUUCAGCGUCUCCGGUGAUGUGCAGAGUUGCAUAGAAUUGAAGAAUGAGUUCUUCAUUCCAGUCACAGAUAUCAAUGCAGAAAUUCAGAAGUCCUGCAUCGUGAAGAACACUGAGGACUGGCUCAAAGCCGGGCAGAGACUCCAUGUCCACAUGAGGAAUAUGUGCAUGAUCGAAGACUUUGUCUUUGUUGAAGAGCACUGAGGAAUAGAAAUUGGCUUGGCUGUGUCACACCCUAGCUAGUCAUGCAUUAGAGUGUUGCAUCAUGUUUACUCGUUCAUCAGAAACUUGAAAUGGGGAUGACAGAACCCCCAGUCCCCUCUGAAACCAACUAGGGUUACUAAAAUAAUUUUUCAAUGAACCUGAAAUGCCCUUCCAAAAUGUCCAUCAUUUUAGCCUUGGUUCAGAACCUCUGACAAAAGUGGUGCACAUUUUUCUAGGCCAUCAUAGGGUCUUUGAAUUAAAUCAUAGAUAUCUGAAUUUGGGCAUUUAAAAUAAUAUAAAAUAUUUAAAUGCUCAAAUAUCUCCAAACUAAAAUGUUUCAUGUUGGAAAUAAUCCAACUAUGGACCAGGAGUAGUUUGGUGAAUUUUGGAGUUGCCUAGGUAUUUUAAUUAAUUCAACACAGUUGCAGAUAUAUUAAAUAAAACAGAAAACAAAAAAGAAAGGGGAAAGACUUACCUGUGCGGCCCAGCCAGCUGGCCGGCCCAGCUAGCAGCCGACCCAGCCCAACACUGUAGCUCCCCGUCGUCUUCCUCCCCACGCCCCGAAGCUGCUGCGUGCUCGCGCGCGCGCGGCCGCGCGGCCACCUCCUGCUUGCCGACGCCCUCCUGGCCGCGUGGACGAUGUCCGCAGCCCGUCCCGAUUCCCCCCUGCUCUCGCUCACUCUCCCCCGUUUCUCCCUCGCUCUCUCUCGCUCUCGGCCGAAGCACACCGUCGCCGCCGUUCGCCGUAGCCACUGUCUCCGGCCACCCCUCGCUCCCCCGAGUAGCUCAGAAGCUCCGCCACAACUCCCUCUUCCUCCCCACCGCUCCACGAGUCCCCGGAAGCCCUGCAUCGCCGCCACGUCGCCGUUCCCCUCUUCGGGCUCCGACCACCGUCGCCGACAAAUUCGCCGUCUCCAGCGCGUCCCCGAGCCCGCUUCGACGCCCACUGCAACCGCGGUGAGCUACGCCACCGUUUCCCCCUCUUCUCCCCCUCGAUCCCUCACCGUAGCUUCAUCUCCACCACGGCCGAACCUCCGCCGUCGCCGAGCUCGCCGUCGACGCAGCUCCGGUGACCAUUUGGUCACCCCGGCAAGUCCAACGCGUUCACAGAACCCAGUAGAGCAUCCCUAGCGCCUCACUUUGCUCGACUUCGAGCUCCAGCACCACUCCCGUGCACGACCGAACCCCGGCGGCCGCAGCCGAGCUCACCGCCGUCAACUCCGGCCACCCCGACCCCAACGGACUCCGCCAAGAGCCGCGGGUCGUCCUCAGCUUCACUCCGGUGAUCUCCGCGGUCCAUUUGGUGGCCGAAACGACCAAAACCACUAUCGCCGCCGCACUGUUGGUCGCCGCCGGCCAGAACUCCGGCGAGCUGACGUGGCCUAGUUAAUUAGCCACUAAACCACCACCUACAGACGCUGACAAGUGGGCCCAGGGCUUAGUCAAAGCUAACCAGCCCGGGGUCAACGCGGGAUUAGCCCCUGUGACACUGACGUGUGGACCCCACACGUCAGGUUUGACCCGAGCCAGCCCUGUUGACCUGCUGAUGUCACUGUGACGUCAGGCUGACGCAGUAAAUGAUAUUUCUGGAUUUAAAUUUAAUCAGGAAAUUCAGAAUAUUAUUUAAACUUCAAAAAUUCAUAACUUUUAUUCUGUAACUCCAAAUUGGACAAAUUAUAUAUGAAAAAUGAUCAGAAAAAUCCAAUCUAUCCAUCUGUACUAUUCUCAUGCAUGAUCAAACAAGUUAAAUUGAUGUUUUAAUCAGAACAAGGAAAAGCACUUUAAAAGGCCAUAUUUGAAUUUGAAAUUUGAAUCUUUGAUUCAAAUUUGUUCAAACACAUCUGGUUUUAGUUGCAUUAGCCCAACACACUCAUAUUGCCAUGUUUCAUGCAUGCAUCAUAUUGUUGCACAUUGUUUGGUGAUGCCUGUGUAUCGUUAUCCUUUGCGACAGGAUCUGUCCCCGAGGAGUACCGUGAUUACCCUAACGAAGAAUCAUAUCCGUGCAACGAACCAUCAGGCAAGCAACCAACCAUUUGAUCAUAUCGAUACAAUCCCAUGUUCUCGCUCCUGCUCUCUUUUACUGCAUUAAGACAACGCGAUUCAAACUGCUGUGUGCUGCGGUAGUUGAACCCAUUUCCUCUGCAUGACCUGUCAUUGCCACAGUAACUAGAUGAAACCCACUAGCAUGUGUAGGAGUUGAUUGAGCCAUAUGUAUGUGUUGUUCCUACCUUGCUAUGCCUGCUAUGCUUAGAGUUGUGUCAGGUCUGGUUCAUCUGGGUGAUGGGCUAGAGUGAAAUGAUUAUGUCGGUAAUAAGAGUGGUGUGGUGAACACGAUUUGGUAAAGGUAUCGAUGAGAGGCCAUGUAGGAGUACAUGGUGGGUUGUUUCAUUGAAGCCGACCUUAAGCACUGAGAUCUGUAUGUGUGAUUUAAGAAUCAGCUACUACCAUGCAUUGGGCCCGAAACCAAUGGACCCUCUCGACUUCUUAUUCACCCUAGUUCUCCGUCCAGGAGUUGCAAGUAGUUUCUGGUGUUUGUAGCCUACUGGAGGCCGUGGACAGCGCUGACCCUAGGGGUGGGCUGUGAUGCGGUAGGUACGUGGCACGGUGUACCGAAUACCCGUUAGGUAUCUCGGGAACCUUGUUCACAUCGUUCGGGGCCGUAUGGGAAACCUCGGCCGGACUCCCUGCGGAUGGAACCUGAAUAGGCGAUAAACCUGGACUGGAAGCUUAGGUGAUUAGGUAGGUCGUGGCCGACACCCACGUUGGGCUUCCGCUUGAAGGUUGCCGAGUACAUGUCGUGUAAACGACGAUAAGUGGUGAGAGCGUGUAUGAAGAAGUACACCCCUGCAGGGUUAACAUGAUCUAUUCGAAUAGCCGCGUCCGCGGUAAAGGACUACUUGGUUGCCUAUACAGUUCAUAGACAAGUAAAUGGAAACUAUUAAAAGCCUCAAGAUAAGUGUGAGUGCCGAGGAUGGCUCUUCCGUAGGAAGACGGAGGUGGAUCCUCGGUAGUGUAUUGAAGUGGUGAGUAGUGGACUCGAGUGCGCAAAACUAUUUCAAAUGGAGUAUCGUAGGAUAGUCUAGCCAGGAGUCAAAGCUGGCUUGCUGCAAUAACUCCACCAACCCUUCUUGAUACUAUGCAUGUAUGUAGGAUCUGAUGUAAGUCUUGCUGAGUACCUUUGUACUCAUGUUGCUAUAAUCUACAUUUUUACAGAAGACGCUGCAACCCCUUCUGAUGGGUUCUAUGUAGACGUUGACAUCAACGAGUAGGCUAAAGACCCAGGUGGUGACCCUGAGCUUGUGAUGGACCACAUAGUAUAGUUAGGCUUCCAAGCCUCUUUUAUUUUACUAGUUGUCUGUACUCAGACAAGUUACUUCCGCUGUUGGCUUGUAUGACUGUAUGACUUGUAUGUUGGGUCGUGUGACCCGUACCUGUGUGUAUGAUAUGUAUGGCUCCCUGAGCCUUAAAUAAAGUACUUGUGUCAUAGAGUCAUGUUAUGAUGCUUCGUUGUAUUUGCACAUAUCGAGCAUAUUGUGUGUAUGUUUGAAAUGCUUGGUAUGUGUGGGAUCUGACUAUCUAGUUGUUUAUCUUUAGUAGCCUCUCUUACCGGGAAAUGUCUCCUAGUGUUACCGCUGAGCCAUGGUAGCUUGCUACUGCUCUGGAACACUUAGGCUGGCCGGCAUGUGUCCUUCUUCGUUCCUGUGUCUAUCCCUUCGGGGAAAUGUCACGCUUUGAGUACCGGAGUCCUGUUAGCCCGCUACAGCCCGGUUUACCGGAGUCCUGCUAGCCCAGUGCUACAGCCCGGACCCACUUGCUGAUGACCGACACGUUCGAAGCUGGGUCAUGGAUGCCUGUCCCUGUAAGUCUGUGCCACUUUGGGUUUACGACUAGUCAUGUCAGCCCGGGCUCUUUAUCAUAUGGAUGCUAGCGACACUAUCAUAUACGUGAGCCAAAAGGCGCAAACGGUCCCGGGAAAAGGGUAAGACGACACCCGUGGGGAUACCGUGCGUGAGGCCGCAAAGUGAUAUGAGGUGUUACCAGCUAGAUCGAUGUGACAUCGAGUCGGGGUCCUGACAGCGUUGGCAUCAGAGCCGGACUGCCUGUAGGUUCUCUAAGCCAAACUGGUCGAUGUUGAGUCUAGAAAUUCUUUAGUUAUAUGUAGGGGAAUUGUUUGUGGGUUGGAACGUAAGGCUCUUUUACUCCUUAUACCUUAUGACAUUCUGAUCUGAGUCAGUCCAUUCUUCCGCCGGGGGUUAAGGAAUUAGGAUCUGUUCUCUCUAUCAGGUUCACGUGUUACUAAUCAGUAGUACCUUAUAAGUUUGAUGGUUAUCAGCCUAGCUCAGUUCUACUACCACAUUGUGUUGUAGGAAUGGUUUCAGAACCUUGAUGUGAUGAUGUUGAGUGUGUACGAAAUCCUUUGUCAAAUGUCUCAAUAUCCUUUUUGAGCAUUUACAGCUGUUAUGCUGCCGAAAUUUUGCUAGAAAUUCUAAUGCCUUUGCAUUAUGAUUAUGCUUUCAGAUGGCCACUCGCGACCUCAAUCAAGUGGUUCGCCUGACUCGAUGCCUAGAUGUACCCGGCCAUACUGCUAAGUUGGUCAGGGUAAUGACUGAGGCUGGAUACCGCUGGUAUCCUGAGUACACGGUCGAAGAGCAAUUCCGAGACUUUAAUCAAAGCCAGUAUCUCUGCACUGUCAGGAUAUUUCCAUCUUAUCCUGGAUCCACUGAGCCUCUUCACUGCUCCUAUGGACUCGGGGUUACUAUCGAGAUGGCUGUGCAGGAUGCCGCCUACUCUAUGAUGACCAUUAUGCGAGUCAGAUCUGGGUUAUUUCGGGACUCUGACUUCCGGUAUAUGCCAGGAUCACUUCCAGGAGCACAAGGGUAUCUCCAGGCUAUCUAUGCUGACUCCACUCAGGAGGAUUCACGGACUCGCACCACUGCUGAGAUGCUCGAGGAUAAGGACCUUGAAAAUCGGGCCUUAAGGUUAGAGCUCUUCAAUACCCGUGCUGACCACUGGGCCACCUUGACUCGGUUCGCACCGGCGGUGCAAGCUGGAUAUUCAGAUAUGCGUGAUCUCUAUCCUGUGAGAUCUGCUCUGCCGGACGUGAUGGUUUGGCGUGAUGUAGGAGGCAUCACCCCACCUCGCGGUCCCCGCAGGCCACCGUUUGUUGGUCCACGACCUCAUCCUAGCCCCUAUGGUCCACAAGCUCCGCGAGACCGUCUGUUUCCGGAUGAUCAUGUUGAACUUCCAGGCUAUGGAGGUGACUUCUACGAGGACUACUACGGAUCGGUCUGAGUUAGUAGUAGUAUCACUAGUUCGCACUAGCUGUGUCGUCUAUUGUCCUGCGUGUCUCAUGGGAUAUGACCUAGUUUGUACUCUUCCGGAGAUGUAGAAAAAUAAUGUAUAGGAGCUUGGAAUGCCUCCGAUGAGAUGUAAUCCUUUUCUCACCGUAAUAGUACUUUGUUUGGUCUUGUACUAAACCUUGUAUGGUGUGUAUGACGAUGGAAUAAAGAAGCAGUUUCUGUAUCUACCAUGUCAUACGGAUGAUCAUCUUGCAUUCCGAGUUAUUUCUUACAUUAUGUAUCCCAUGUCGGAAUUUCAUCAUUCUGACUAAAUCAUUGUCUUGUUUACCUAGGAUGGUCAACACACGCGCUAAUCCUGCUUCCCAAGAGCAGGCCGAAGGCAGUGAAGCCAGGAAUGAAAAUCUGCCUCAUCCUCCUUCACUAGCCGAAGUGAUGAUGGAAGCUGAGAGAAACAAGCGGGAGACAAACCGGUUGUUGGAGCGUAUUGAACAGAACACAGCACACCAUCAGAGGGCUAACGUGGUGUCACUCAGUGAUUUUAUCAAAUUGCAUCCACCCACGUUCCACCACUCCGUCGAGCCUCUCGACGCUGAUGACUGGCUUCGCAGUAUCUCUCACAAACUGCGUUCGGCGCUGGUAGCUGAGGCUGACAAGGUCACCUUUGCUGCAUAUCAUCUUGAAGGCCCCACCAGUCUAUGGUGGGAGAAUUAUGGAGCUAUGCGCCCAGCAGGCCAUGUCACAACUUGGGCUGAAUUCAGCGACGCUUUCCGUGAACACCACAUUCCGGAGGGUCUCAUGGACCGUAAGCGUGAAGAAUUUUGCAAUUUCACCCAAGGCCGACUUUCUGUGGAUGUCUAUAGCAGGGAGUUUGGUAAUCUCGCCCGAUAUGCAACUGAGGAAGUUUCUACUGACGCCAAGAAGCAAGCAAGGUUCCGCAAGGGCCUUAGUCCUGAGCUUCGCCGCGACCUUUGUCUGCAUGAGUGCACAUCCUUCUCGAAACUUGUCAACAAAGCCAUCAGUGCUGAAACUGGUCAGACUAACUAUGACGCAACACGCAAGCAUGGACGUGACACGGGUUCCUCAUCCGGUGCUGGUCCUCAGAAGCGCCGCGUGUGGGUACCCAACACCGCCUUGCCACCCAGGUUCACACCGAGGCCAUCUUUCCAGGCGCCUCGCCCCGCUCAACAGUCUGCUCCAGCCAAGCCCUAUGGGGGUCCAACCAAUAAUGCUCCUCCACGUACCAGUUCCGUGACUUGUUUCAAGUGUGGGGAAUCUGGUCACUAUAUGCGUGAGUGUCCCCAGACCAACCCCAAUCAAUCUGCUAAAGCUGUUGGCCGUGGCAAGCCGACAGGGAAAGUAUUCCACGCUAAACCGGUCACCGCUUCACGUGGCCAUGUCAACUGUGUCUCUGCCGAAGAAGCUCAAGAAGAUCCCAACGUCGUUCUCGGUACGCUUCUUGUUAAUUGCCACCCGACAUCUGUCCUUUUCGAUACAGGAGCCUCUCAUUCCUUUAUAUCUGAAAAUUAUGUUCGUUUGCAUAACGUUGCAUUCUGUGAUCUGCCGUCCACUAUGGAAAUCUCUACCCCUGGGUCUAGAUGGCAGACCUCUAGGGUAAGUUAUGGAAAUGAGAUCCAAGUCGACAGACUUGUUUUCCUCGCAUCUUUGAUAGCCCUUAAAUCUUCAGAUAUUAAUAUCAUUUUGGGUAUGGACUGGAUGUCAGCUCAUCAAGCCAAAAUUGAUUGCUUCUCUAGGACCGUUCAACUCACCCAUCCUUCGGGCAAGAUAGUCAAUGUUUUGACUCGAAUAGCCAAGCGACAAUUAUAUUCUCUUAACGCCAGCCCUUUGCCAGACCUUGAGGACGUUCCGGUAGUCCGUGACUUUCCGGAUGUCUUUCCAGAGGAAUUGCCAGGUGUUCCACCUGACAGGGAUGUUGAGUUUGUAAUAGACCUCAUCCCCGGAACCGUUCCGAUUGCUAGAAGGCCUUAUAAGAUGGCACCCCUAGAACUAGCCGAGCUUAAGAAACAACUCGAUGAGUCCUUGAAAAAGGGUUUCAUCCGCCCCAGUUCAUCUCCGUGGGCUUGCCCCGUCCUAUUCGUUAAGAAGAAGGAUGGUACGGACCGGAUGGUUGUAGAUUACCGACCUGUCAAUUUGGUCACGAUCAAGAACAAAUAUCCACUUCCCAGGAUCAACGACCUGUAUGAUCAGCUCGCUGGAUCUUCAGUCUUCUCUAAGAUGGAUUUGAGGUUGGGCUAUCAUCAAAUCAAAAUCAGAAACGGGGACAUUCCUAAAACGGCCUUUGUUACUCGUUAUGGCCAAUACGAGUACACCGUCAUGUCCUUCGGUUCAACCAACGCUCCAGCCACCUUUUCUCGGUUAAUGAACUCAAUCUUCAUGGAGUAUUUGGAUAAAUUCGUCGUAGUUUAUCUCGAUGAUAUACUCAUCUACUCCAAGAACGAGGAAGAACAUGCCGAACAUCUAAGACUAGUGUUGCAGAAACUUCGAGAGCAUCGCCUUUAUGCCAAAUUUUCUAAAUGUGAAUUCUGGUUGCCAGAAGUGACCUAUCUGGGUCAUGUAAUAUCUGGUAAAGGUAUUGCUGUUAACCCCGAGCGAGUUCAAGCCGUCCUUGAUUGGACUCCACCUGAAUCGGUCAAGCAAGUUCGGAGUUUUCUAGGCUUAGCGAGCUAUUGUCGUCGCUUUGUCGAGAACUUCUCCAAAGUUGCUAAACCUCUAACCGAACUCCUCAAGAAAGAUAAGAAGUUCGAAUGGACUCCACAAUGUGAGCACAGUUUCCAGGAACUGAAAAGACGCCUGACUUCUGCUCCUGUGCUGGUACCGCCAGACUUCUCCAAGGACUUUGUUAUCUACUGCGACGCCUCGCGACAAGGACUAGGUUGCAUUCUUAUGCAAGAUCGACACGUAAUUGCUUACGCUUCACGGCAAUUGCACCCACAUGAGGAGAAUUAUCCUACUCAUGAUUUAGAACUUGCAGCCGUAGUCUAUGCACUUAAGACCUGGCGACAUUACCUCCUCGGUAAUCGUUGCCAAAUAUUCACUGAUCACCAAAGUCUGAAGUACAUUUUCACCCAACCGGAUUUGAAUCUCAGACAGAGACGUUGGGUUGAAUUGAUCACAGACUUCGACUUAGGGAUAACCUAUACCCCAGGGAAAGCCAACGUCAUGGCUGAUGCGCUAAGUCGUAAAUCUUAUUGUAACAACCUGAUGUUACAACAAAGUCAACCGCUUCUCCAUGAGGAAUUUCGGAAGCUUAACCUUCACAUUGUACCUCAAGGUUUUCUUUCCACCUUGGUGGCAAAACCUACUCUUACGGAUCAAAUCAUCGCUGCCCAAAAGCGAGAUAAGGGAAUAUCUAAAAUCAAAGAGAACAUUGCUAGCGGAGGUGCUAGUUGUUUCUCCACAAAUGAUCAUGGUGUUGUGUACUUUGAGAAUCGUCUAGUGGUUCCCAAGAACCAGCAUCUGCGGCAGUUGAUCCUUAAGGAGGCCCAUGAAUCUCCUCUCACCAUUCAUCCCGGUAGUACUAAGAUGUAUCAGGACCUACGCCAGAGGUUCUGGUGGACUAGGAUGAAGAGAGAAAUUGCUCAGUAUAUUGCAAAUUGCGACGUCUGUCGUCGUGUAAAAGCAGAGCACCAACGGCCUGCUGGCACACUUCAACACUUAGCUAUUCCUGAAUGGAAAUGGGAUAAAAUUGGUAUGGAUUUCAUUACCAGUUUUCCCAGGACCAAGAGAGGGAAUAAUGCUAUUUUCGUCGUGGUCGAUCGUCUUUCCAAAGUAGCUCAUUUCCUACCUGUUCGUGAGAGUAUAACCGCUAGUCAGCUGGCAGACUUAUACAUCUCCCGGAUAGUGUCUCUUCAUGGUGUUCCUUUGGAAAUCAAUUCGGAUCGAGGAAGUCUUUUCACCUCUCGAUUUUGGGAAAGUUUCCAAAAUGCUAUGGGAACCCGUCUCUCCUUUAGCACCGCUUUCCACCCUCAGUCAAGUGGUCAAGUGGAACGCGUCAAUCAGAUUCUAGAAGACAUGCUUCGAGCCUCCGUUAUCUCUUUCGGAAUGGACUGGGAGAAGUGCCUUCCAUUUGCCGAAUUCGCUUACAACAACAGCUAUCAAUCUAGCUUGGGUAAAGCCCCUUUUGAAGUUCUCUAUGGACGACGAUGUCGAACACCCCUUAACUAGUCAGAGACCGGGGAAAGACAAUUCUUUGGCCCGGAUAUGAUUCAGGAAGCAGAAGAACAAGUUCGUAUCGUUCGUGAAAAGUUGAAAACAGCCCAAUCCCGUCAAAAGAGUCAAUAUGACCGAAAACAUAAGGCUAUGACUUUCGAGGUUGACGAGAAGGCUUACCUUCGGGUCACCCCUCUGAAGGGAACCCAUCGUUUCGGUAUCAAAGGCAAAUUGGCUCCUCGUUACAUUGGACCUUUUCGCAUUCUUGCCAAACGAGGAGAAGUUGCCUACCAAUUGGAACUACCUCCGCACCUCUCCAGAGUUCACGAUGUCUUCCACGUUUCUCAACUCAGGCGUUGCUUCUCGGAUCCUAUCCGUGAAGUGGACCACGAAACGCUUGAUCUCCAAGAUAAUCUUACAUAUCGAGAGUACCCCAUUCGUAUCCUCGAUCAAACCGAACGUACCACGCGACGUCAUAAUAUCAAGUUUCUCAAGGUUCAAUGGUCGCACCAUUCUAAGGAUGAAGCAACUUGGGAAAGGGAGGAUCGUCUUCGACUCGAAUAUCCCGCCUUCUUCUCGAAGGAACCCAAAUCUCGGGACGAGAUUCUUUUGAGUGGGGGUGAGUUGUCACACCCUAGCUAGUCAUGCAUUAGAGUGUUGCAUCAUGUUUACUCGUUCAUCAGAAACUUGAAAUGGGGAUGACAGAACCCCCAGUCCCCUCUGAAACCAACUAGGGUUACUAAAAUAAUUUUUCAAUGAACCUGAAAUGCUCUUCCAAAAUGUCCAUCAUUUUAGCCUUGGUUCAGAACCUCUGACAAAAGUGGUGCACAUUUUUCUAGGCCAUCAUAGGGUCUUUGAAUUAAAUCAUAGAUAUCUGAAUUUGGGCAUUUAAAAUAAUAUAAAAUAUUUAAAUGCUCAAAUAUCUCCAAACUAAAAUGUUUCAUGUUGGAAAUAAUCCAACUAUGGACCAGGAGUAGUUUGGUGAAUUUUGGAGUUGCCUAGGUAUUUUAAUUAAUUCAACACAGUUGCAGAUAUAUUAAAUAAAACAGAAAACAAAAAAGAAAGGGGAAAGACUUACCUGUGCGGCCCAGCCAGCUGGCCGGCCCAGCUAGCAGCCGACCCAGCCCAACACUGUAGCUCCCCGUCGUCUUCCUCCCCACGCCCCGAAGCUGCUGCGUGCUCGCGCGUGCGCGGCCGCGCGGCCACCUCCUGCUUGCCGACGCCCUCCUGGCCGCGUGGACGACGUCCGCAGCCCGUCCCGAUUCCCCCCUGCUCUCGCUCACUCUCCCCCGUUUCUCCCUCGCUCUCUCUCGCUCUCGGCCGAAGCACACCGUCGCCGCCGUUCGCCGUAGCCACUGUCUCCGGCCACCCCUCGCUCCCCCGAGUAGCUCAGAAGCUCCGCCACAACUCCCUCUUCCUCCCCACCGCUCCACGAGUCCCCGGAAGCCCUGCAUCGCCGCCACGUCGCCGUUCCCCUCUUCGGGCUCCGACCACCGUCGCCGACAAAUUCGCCGUCUCCAGCGCGUCCCCGAGCCCGCUUCGACGCCCACUGCAACCGCGGUGAGCUACGCCACCGUUUCCCCCUCUUCUCCCCCUCGAUCCCUCACCGUAGCUUCAUCUCCACCACGGCCGAACCUCCGCCGUCGCCGAGCUCGCCGUCGACGCAGCUCCGGUGACCAUUUGGUCACCCCGGCAAGUCCAACGCGUUCACAGAACCCAGUAGAGCAUCCCUAGCGCCUCACUUUGCUCGAAUUCGAGCUCCAGCACCACUCCCGUGCACGACCGAACCCCGGCGGCCGCAGCCGAGCUCACCGCCGUCAACUCCGGCCACCCCGACCCCAACGGACUCCGCCAAGAGCCGCGGGUCGUCCUCAGCUUCACUCCGGUGAUCUCCGCGGUCCAUUUGGUGGCCGAAACGACCAAAACCACUAUCGCCGCCGCACUGUUGGUCGCCGCCGGCCAGAACUCCGGCGAGCUGACGUGGCCUAGUUAAUUAGCCACUAAACCACCACCUACAGACGCUGACAAGUGGGCCCAGGGCUUAGUCAAAGCUAACCAGCCCGGGGUCAACGCGGGAUUAGCCCCUGUGACACUGACGUGUGGACCCCACACGUCAGGUUUGACCCGAGCCAGCCCUGUUGACCUGCUGAUGUCACUGUGACGUCAGGCUGACGCAGUAAAUGAUAUUUCUGGAUUUAAAUUUAAUCAGGAAAUUCAGAAUAUUAUUUAAACUUCAAAAAUUCAUAACUUUUAUUCUGUAACUCCAAAUUGGACAAAUUAUAUAUGAAAAAUGAUCAGAAAAAUCCAAUCUAUCCAUCUGUACUAUUCUCAUGCAUGAUCAAACAAGUUAAAUUGAUGUUUUAAUCAGAACAAGGAAAAGCACUUUAAAAGGCCAUAUUUGAAUUUGAAAUUUGAAUCUUUGAUUCAAAUUUGUUCAAACACAUCUGGUUUUAGUUGCAUUAGCCCAACACACUCAUAUUGCCAUGUUUCAUGCAUGCAUCAUAUUGUUGCACAUUGUUUGGUGAUGCCUGUGUAUCGUUAUCCUUUGCGACAGGAUCUGUCCCCGAGGAGUACCGUGAUUACCCUAACGAAGAAUCAUAUCCGUGCAACGAACCAUCAGGCAAGCAACCAACCAUUUGAUCAUAUCGAUACAAUCCCAUGUUCUCGCUCCUGCUCUCUUUUACUGCAUUAAGACAACGCGAUUCAAACUGCUGUGUGCUGCGGUAGUUGAACCCAUUUCCUCUGCAUGACCUGUCAUUGCCACAGUAACUAGAUGAAACCCACUAGCAUGUGUAGGAGUUGAUUGAGCCAUAUGUAUGUGUUGUUCCUACCUUGCUAUGCCUGCUAUGCUUAGAGUUGUGUCAGGUCUGGUUCAUCUGGGUGAUGGGCUAGAGUGAAAUGAUUAUGUCGGUAAUAAGAGUGGUGUGGUGAACACGAUUUGGUAAAGGUAUCGAUGAGAGGCCAUGUAGGAGUACAUGGUGGGUUGUUUCAUUGAAGCCGACCUUAAGCACUGAGAUCUGUAUGUGUGAUUUAAGAUACAGCUACUACCAUGCAUUGGGCCCUGAAAUAUGACCCCGCUCGACUUCUUAUUCACCCUAGCUCUCUGUCCAGGAGUUGCAAGUAGUUUCUGGUGUUUGUAGCCUAUUGGAGGCCGUGGACAGCGCUGACCGUAGGGGUGGGCUGUGAUGCGGUAGGUACGUGGCCGGGUGUACCGAAUACCCGUUAGGUAUCUCGGGAACCCUGUUCACAUCGUUCGGGGCCGUAUGGGAAACCUCGGCCGGACUCCCUGCGGAUGGAACCUGAAUAGGCGAUAAACCUGGACUAGAGGCUUAAGUGUUUAGGUAGGUCGUGGUCUACACCCACGUCGGCUUUCACUUGAAGUCUGCCGAGCACAUGUCGUGUGCAGACGCUAAGUGGUGGAAACAUGUAUGAAGAAGUACACCCCUGCAGGGUUAACAUGAUCUAUUCGAAUAGCCGCGUCCGCGGUAAAGGACUACUUGGUUGCCUAUAUAGUUCAUAGACAAGUAAAUGGAAACUGUUAAAAGCCUCAAGAUAAGUGUGAGUGCCGAGGAUGGCUCUUCCGUAGGAAGACGGAGGUGGAUCCUCGGUAGUGUAUUGAAGUGGUGAAUAGUGGACUCGUGUGCGCAAAACUAUUUCAAAUGGAGUAUCGUAGGAUAGUCUAGCCAAGAGUCAAAGCUGGCUUGCUGCAAUAACUCCACCAACCCUUUUGAUACUAUGCAUGUAUGUAGGAUCUGAUGUAAGUCUUGCUGAGUACCUUUGUACUCAUGUUGCUAUAAUCUACAUUUUUACAGAAGACGCUGCAACCCCUUCUGAUGGGUUCUAUGUAGACGUUGACAUCAACGAGUAGGCUAAAGACCCAGGUGGUGACCCUGAGCUUGUGAAGGACCACGUAGUAUAGCCAGGCUUUCCAAGCCUCUUUUAUUUUACUAGUUGUCUGUACUCAGACAAGUUACUUCCGCUGUUGGCUUGUAUGAUUGUAUAACUUGUAUGUUGGGUCGUGAGACCCGUAACUUUGUGUGUAUAUUAUGUAUGGCUCCCUGAGCCUUAAAUAAAGUACUUGUGUCAUAGAGUCAUGUUGUGAUGCUUCGUUGUAUUUACACAUAUCGAGCAUAUUGUGUGUAUGAUUGAAAUGCUUGGUAUGUGUGGGAUCUGACUAUCUAGUUGUUUAUCUUUAGUAGCCUCUCUUACCGGGAAAUGUCUCCUAGUGUUACCGCUGAGCCAUGGUAGCUUGCUACUGCUCUGGAACACUUAGGCUGGCCGGCAUGUGUCCUUCUUCGUUCCUGUGUCUGUCCCUUCGGGGAAAUGUCACGCUUUGAGUACCGGAGUCCUGUUAGCCCGCUACAGCCAGGUUUACCGGAGUCCUGCUAGCCCAGUGCUACAGCCCGGACCCACUUGCUGAUGACCGACACGUUCGAAGCUGGGUCAUGGAUGCCUGUCCCUGUAAGUCUGUGCCACUUUGGGUUUACGACUAGUCAUGUCAGCCCGGGCUCUUUAUCAUAUGGAUGCUAGCGACACUAUCAUAUACGUGAGCCAAAAGGCGCAAACGGUCCCGGGCAAAGGUAAGGCGACACCCGUGGGAACACCGUGCGUGAGGCCGCAAAGUGAUAUGAAGUGUUACCGGCUAGAUCGAUGUGACAUCGAGUCGGGGUCCUGCUUGGUAUGUGUGGGAUCUGACUAUCUAGUUGUUUAUCUUUAGUAGCCUCUCUUACCGGGAAAUGUCUCCUAGUGUUACCGCUGAGCCAUGGUAGCUUGCUACUGCUCUGGAACACUUAGGCUGGCCGGCAUGUGUCCUUCUUCGUUCCUGUGUCUGUCCCUUCGGGGAAAUGUCACGCUUUGAGUACCGGAGUCCUGUUAGCCCGCUACAGCCCGGUUUACCGGAGUCCUGCUAGCCCAGUGCUACAGCCCGGACCCACUUGCUGAUGACCGACACGUUCGAAGCUGGGUCAUGGAUGCCUGUCCCUGUAAGUCUGUGCCACUUUGGGUUUACGACUAGUCAUGUCAGCCCGGGCUCUUUAUCAUAUGGAUGCUAGCGACACUAUCAUAUACGUGAGCCAAAAGGCGCAAACGGUCCCGGGAAAAGGGUAAGACGACACCCGUGGGGAUACCGUGCGUGAGGUCGCAAAGUGAUAUGAGGUGUUACCAGCUAGAUCGAUGUGACAUCGAGUCGGGGUCCUGACAGGCUGGCAGUCUAGAACCGCCUCUUCCUUAUGCGAGCAGAAUCAUAUGGAUUAUAAUUAGUGAAGAAUACGUGCUCGGCAAAGAAAUCUUCAGCCUUGAACUUCUGUUUGCUUGAGAACAGAUUCUUUUGCUUUGGCAGAGGGGUAUCAGUGAGUUGCAUCACCACCUCAGGAAUCGCGAGCUCAGGUUCUUCAGGCUGAGGAAUUUCUUGUUCCUCAACAGGUGCAGUCUGAGGAUCAGCAGGAGCAGGUUCAUCAACACUAGUGGCUAGAAUUUCUUCAUGGACAGAAGAAGUGGGAUGAGUUUCUUCAGAGCCCAUUUGAACAGUUUGUGCAGGGGACUGAGGUAUCUGUUGGAGUGGGGUGAAGAGUGGAGAAUUUGGAUGUUGACUUUCCCAAAAGUCAUCGUUCAUCACUGGCGUUGUGCUUCCAAUAUCCACAUCUUCUUCAAUUUCCUCAACACAGGCCUCUUCAGCUGUGAAUUGAGGCAUAGGCGAGGAAAUGAUUGGGGUUGAAGGGAUUGCUUCCACUUCAAUUUCUUCAUCAAUCUGCUCUGACGAAGCAGCAGAAUGAUUUUCUUCAUCAGAUCCGCUUGGGAUCUCAUAGUCUUCUCCAAAAGGAACAAGGUCCUUUGAUGGCAUGGAGGAAAUCGGAAUAGCAUCAAUUGGAUUUUCGAGUGAGCUGGUCGUUGGCUUCAUUUUCUUCGCAGUCGAAGAGUUUGACGCAGCUGAUGCCUUCCUUUUCUUCACUGCAGCUCGCUCUGUAGCCUUGGUCUUCUUCACAUCGAAUGCACAUGGAAGAAUUGGAGUUAGUGUAGGUGCAGAUGGAGCUGAGGAAUCUGGUUGAUUUUCUUCAGGCGCAACUGAUGCAGUUGCCCUGACUUCUUCAGUUUCUUCAGGCGCACCACUAGUGGAUGCCCUGGCAAUUUCUUCAGCGGCUGGAAUGGGAUCAUCAGCCCUGGAACUAGCAUUUUCAUCAGCAGCCUGAACAUCAUCAGCGAUGCUGGCAUGUUCUUCAGUCGGCUGAGCUGAGACUCCAGCCUGAGGAAUUUCAUGUUGCGUUGGGGCAGCAACAUUGGUGAAUUUCUUUGUCAGGUUGACGAAUCUGACUUUGGCUCCUUGCCAAUCAGCAUAGUAGGCAUCAAAGUCAUUGCUGAGGGCUUGAAUUUCAGACUGAGCCUGGAGAAGUUCCUCAGGUGUCAUUCUGACAAUGUUUUUCUUCAGGAGCUUCUCCUUUCUAUAUUGAGCUUUCUUAAUCUCUCUUGCCUUUUCAAACUUCCAUUUCUCUUCAGUGAUGAAAUGGGUCAACAUAUGACUUUGUCCAGAGGUCAGAUGAAAAUCAGGCAUUGGGGUGUUUGGAUCCUUGUGCCAGAGAUCAAUAUAAUCGAGGAUUUUCCUCGGAUCCAACAGCAGUGGCACAGAAGUGCCUUUGGCUCUAGCGGCCUUCACCUGUCUGUCUCUGAUGAUUUCUGCAAGUUCAUCAUCAGAAGCUUCAUCAUCAGAAGGCACAUGGAAUGCGACCUGUUUCUUCUUUGGACUUGGCCGAGGACCUCGUCCAGCUGUUGCUUUGGUCUUCAGCAGAGUCGGGCCAGAUGAUGACUUUGGUGCAGCUGAGGAACUUGCGGAAACACCAGAGGCAAUCGAGAAACCAGCAGUCCUUUGACAUGUAGCCAGAUGCACAAGAGCUGAGGACUUUGGUGGAGCAGUAGCAGUGUGAGGAAUUUGCCGUGGGGGCGCUGCUGAGGAACUUGGCCGUGAGGGUGCUGUUGGUGAAGCACUUGGCUUACGAGCAGGCUUCUUUGGCAUGGAUUUCCUCGGUUUGACCGAGGCCUCAGUAGCAGUGGUAGUGGCAGAAUCCUCAUUGAAUUUCUUCACUGCCUCCUUGGCUUGUCUUGCCAAUUUAGCUUGGCGCUUAGCCCAUUCUUCAAGAAAGUCCUCACCACGUUUGAUGCUUGUGGGAUCAGCUACUUGGCCAGGUGCCAAUGGAGCUCUUGGGCAUGGAGGAUUGAGGGCGAAUUUCUUCAUGUACUUUGGAGUCACAUAUCUGUAUUCCCUCCAUUCCCUUGCCCAUCUCCGUUCAAUCUUCUGAAUGCGCACCUUGCGCUGAUUUUUGUUUUCUUUGCCAAAUUUUGCUUCAUCAGGUGUGCAGUAGUCAGCAUAAAUUUCCUCAGGGAUUUCAAACGCAGUCAUAACCUCAGGUUUCUUUCCUCCUUUCUGCGGCUUCUUACCUUCUGCCAUAUUCUUCAGUUGAGGAAUUUGAACAAUUGAGUUCUCUGAAGAAGUAUGCAGUUUUUCUUCGAGGAACGCUGCAAAUGAGUUAAGUUGAUGAGAACCUAGUGAUUCAGCAGCAGGCAUGAGUACCUGUGAACAGAGUACAGGUGCGAGGAAUUCGGAGAGGUCAUAUGCGUUCUGAGAAGGUUUUUUAAAAAGAACAAGUUUUGAGGAAUUUGACCAGAUGAACCUUGAGGAAUUUCACUAAGCGUUCUUGUCUUAGGUUCUAGAGUUGUAAAGAUCGAAGAUCCACACAAUUAGGGAAUCUUGAUGAAAAUGAUUGCUUAGAGAAACAGUUCAAGAUCAUAUGAUGUGUGUGGUGUUCAUAUGUGUGAAGAUUUGAAGAAUAAACACCUUUGAAGAUUUUCAGGAAAGCUUGAGAAUCAAAGCGAGUAAUAAAAGUAACUUUUAAUUACCCAAAGUGAAGAACACGACGAACUGAGAAGAACAGAUGGGAAGUUCAUCAGGUUAGAUCUUCCUUGCCCUAACUCGGCGGAGGAAGACAGCUACGGCGGCGGCGGAGUGAAGAUUUCUACGGUCGGCGUGAGUACGACGGCGACGAGGUCGAGGCAGCGAAGCUCUUCCUCACCGGCGACGAUGGAGUAGCGGCGGCGCUAGGGUUUGAGGAGCUCGAGUGAGAGAGUAGCGAUUGAGCGGAGUAAAUGAAGUGAGGAAGGGGAGAGGGGUAUUUAUAGACACGGUGAAAAACUGUUCGCCCGAAGAUUUGGGACGAACGUGCCCCUGCCCUUUCUCCUUCACGCGACAUGUGUCACCCACGUACUGUGUAGUGGAGAUCGUGUAUGAUCGUGGGUGAAUAGAAUAAUGCAUCGUGGGAUGCGGAACAGUUUGAGCGGCAAAACCGAAAAUUUGGAUAAGAUUUAUUUUAAAGUUUCGUUCGCAAUUUCUUCAGCUGACAAGGACACAGUGAAGAUUUUGAACGAGUUUCAAAUAGAACGCACAUGAAGAAUUUGUGAAUAGAUUGGGUUGAGUAUAGCAUAGAGGGGGAAGGGUCCGAUCACAUUCACUUAGCAGAAAAAGCAACUUGAAGAAAUAGCUAUAAGUGAAUGAUGUAGAGGACAUAAACUCAUAUAUAUAUAUAUAUAUAUAGCCAAUGAAGAAAAACGAAGGGAACAGUGAAGAUUUUGCAAAGUUGAAGAAUUUGAAAAACUGAAGAAUUUCAAAACAAAAAAAAAC